UAAAGUGUUCUUUUUUUAGCAUUAAACUAACUUAUAAUUUUAAAAACUUCAAGGGACUAAAAUAAUAAUUUACCAUUUGGGGGCUUGGCCCCGUCCCUGUAAAUAAGGGUAAAGCUAGGAAUUAUGUAUUGAGGGUCGAUCUAAAGUUGAAAUUUUGGAGGAACAAAGAAAAAAAAAUGUUAUAAUGAUUUAAAUCGAAUAAAUAAUUCUUUGGAAGGGUCAAAAAUGCAAAAAAAAAAAAUUCAUUUGGUCAAAGCUCAAACGGGUUAAAAUUGAAGUCUAAAUUUGCAAGAGAGACUAAAAGGGGAAUUAUCUCAUUUACCCAAGAGGAUUAAGGGUGAGUUUGAAUAAGCAACACUAGCGGUGACAUUAGAUAUUGUAGUGUGAGACAAAAAAUAAAUUAAACGUACCGCACCGUCCAUCCAAACUCACACUUAUGUUGCUUGGACUUUUUAUUUUUCUUAAGAGUUUUCGAAUCGAGAUAGAGAGAUCAAAAUAUGGGGUCCCUUUACUAUACUUAAAUAUGGGGUUUAGUUCCCAUACUUUGACAUGAUUUUCAAUUAAAAAAAAUAAAGGUGUUUAUUAUUUAAAUUAAAAAAAAAUAAAAUUUAACUAAAUUGAACAUAAUAGAGAGAUCAAAAUCAUAAUUUAAUCAUGUGAAAAAAAUUUGUAUUUGACAUUUACAUCGAAAUACGGUUAUAAUAGAUUCGGGGAAAAAGAUAAAAAUGGCAUUUUUCCCAAAAUAAAAUGCUAAAAAAUUGUUGAAGAAAAAUCCAAAUUUCUUUCUCAUUUUAGAUUAAAAAAACAAUCUAUCAAAAGAAAUGAGAAAAAUGGUUUUAUUGUGGAAAACCCAUCAUUUUCAAUGUAAAUAAAAUAAUGACAAAUCAUUUUCUUUUUAGCUAUCAUCCAUAGUUUAAAAAAAGCACCCAUUUUGACAUCUUUUUCACUUUUAAAAAAGGACUUAAAUAUGCUAACAAGAGAAUGUUUGUCUUAAAAACAUAAAAAAUUUUAUCAGUUACAUCGAAGUUAUCGAAAUUGUCAACAUAAAAAUUUAUUACAAUUAAUUCUGAUAAAUAUCGAUGAUGGAAAAUUAUAACUUUCUUUGGGCGAGGUCCAUCAAAAAUGAAAAUUUAUUUAUGUAGUCCUUUUAGUUUUUAAAAAUUAUAAGUUAAUGUGAUGGUUAAAUUAUAUUUUGACCCUCAAAAAAUUAUAUUCAUUUUCUAUAUUUAAAACAAAUUUCAGACUUUGUCCUUAUUUAGGCUUAAAAUGUAACAAUAAAAAUGAACUUAAAAAAGAGUAUCUAAUAGGGGAGUCUCAAAAUGGUAAAAUUGCUUCUAAAAUCUUUUAAAAAUUAUAAAAAUAUUUUUUAAUCCCUUUUAUAGAAAAAGAAAAAGGCAAAUCAAGUGAUUUUUCUUACCUGUAUCUUGGCAGCGGCAGUGAUUUUCAUUUCCAUUGCAUGAUUCCAUGUGAUCGACCACACCAUACCACCACCCUACAAGAAUUUAAGCUCAAAUUUUUUACCACUAGAUCGGUCGGGCAGUAAGAAAUUCGAUGCAUUUUAAGUAAAAUUUGAAUAAAGAAAGUAUUAGGAGAGUUUUUUUUCAGUUUGGGGUUUGACCAAGUUGUACUUUGAAAUAGUUAAAAUUUAAUAUGAUUAUGGAAUACGGAAAGUUUUCGAAUGAGAAAAAAGUAUUUACGGAAAACUCACCAUAAGGGAAUUCUCUGUUUCUUCUCCAUUGGAUCUCGAUAUGAUCACCGGGUUUUAAUUCAAAUAAUGAAUCGGAAAUGUGAAGAUCAUAUGAACAAGUAUCGACCGGUGGCGCUCUUAGCCUAUCCCAUGAUAUAUUCUCCUCUGUUGUUCGCCGUCCGUGAGGCGAGUACCUGAAAAGUACAAAAAUCCAACUUCAUUGAGCUUAUAUAUUAACUUCAAGAUUAAAUUAUGAUCAAAGUUGUAUUUAUAACAAUCGCGAAUGUUACGAAUAUUAUCAUGAUAAAUUAUGACAACUCUUAUUUUCCGCGAAAUAAUGUAUAACACUUAAUCCGAACAUAUUCGUGUCGAACCAGUACAAUAAUCCGAAACUCGCAUACCGAAUCCGAGUAACAUAGAGUAUAAAUUUCCAUACCUUGCUUGAAAGGUGUCAGUUUUUGAAUCAUAGCUAAGUUUGGCAUCAUAACAUGAUAGCAAAAACCCAGCAUGUCCAUUCUGCAAAAAUAAAAUAAAAUAAAAUAAUUAAAUUAUUGAUCACUAAAUGUUUUAUUAUUAUUACUAUUAUUUACUUAGAGAUGAGAAUGGGACGAGACGGAUUCUUACUUUCUACGAUCUCUAUUUAAUAUGCCUCAACAUAAUCUAAUUCCGACCCGGUCUAAGAUUAAAUAUUAAUUUACUUCGAACCCAAUUUAAAUAUAUGCAUAAUUUUUAUUUUUUAUAACCAAAACACAAAGGGCAGAGGGAGAGAGACAGUGGUCUUGACCCAAAAUUAAAAAUUCUCUUACUCCCUUUUAAUUUUUAAAAAAUUAUAAAUUAAUAUAAUGGUAAAAUUGUAUUUUAAUCCUUUAAAAUAUUUUUAUUUAUUUUUUACCCUAAAACAAUUUUCUGCCCUGCCAAAACAGAAUAAUAAUUUUAAAUAUUUUUAAUUAUAUUAUUAAUUAUUUUCUAAGUACAUUUAUAUUUAAAAGCAAAUAUUAAUAUAAAAUUUUAAUAUCAUAUAUUUUAAAUCAAUAUUAUAUAUAAAAAUAUUUUGAUAAUUAUCUUUUCUAAACCAAAUCCAACCCGCCCAAAACUCGAUUUAAGAAAAAAAAAAAAAGACUGUUAAAUUGUGUCGGAUCAAGUCGAGUCCGAAUUUUCCUUUUUCAUCACUACAUUUAACAAAUAUAUAAAGAAAAUUUAAUUAAUUACUAAAAAUAUUUUAAUAAUUAUCUCGAAACAUGUUUUUCUAAAUCCGACCCAAACCGCUCAAAACUCGAUUUAAAAAGAAAAAAAAAACAAUCAGAUUAGAUCGGAUUGAAUCGAUGGGGUCGGGUUUUUCUCAUUCCUAUAUUUAACAACUAUAUGAAGAAAAAUUAAUUAAAUUAAAUUAAAUUAAUUACCUCUCUAUUAUAGACUUGAGCAGGGAACGAGAAUCUCCCAGUUUCCAAAGCCAAAUACCAAGCCAUGAUCGAAUCAACAGCCAAUCCGCCAUUUUUGAGCUCUUUUUCAGCUCUGGGUUUAAUGUUAAACCAAGAGAGAAACGGCCAAAUUUUAGCAACAGAUUCAAACGAAAAAUUGCUUUGAUUCCUUUGAUUAUUCAACAGAUUGGAUCUAUUUUUCAAAGCAAUAUACCAUUGCCAUUCUCUAUAAGCAGCAUCUCCAAUCACUUUCCCCCAUUUCCCUUUCAUCCUUUUCUCCCAAACAUCGUCACUCACACACCGUUCUCUCAAAGAAGAACAAACACCGGACAUGGCACAAAGCUCCGCCGGUUGAAGACGGUCCAAAAUGCAGUCCAAUACGAGCUCAGGCAAGUCCAGCAACGACGGAGACGGCGUCGUUUUGUUGUGAUCUUCUUUUUGGUUCUCCGUUGAUGACGACCAUACGAGGUUUUUUGCUUUGGGUUUGAGCUUCUUUAAUGGCGUGGUGGAGGUGAAGAUUUGAAGGGUACCUUUUUGGAACCAUGAGGUCAUGAAAGUGGUGGUGAACGCUUCGUCCCAUGGCGGGAACAACCGCCGUUCACGGUGGUGAUGUUGGUGCUUUGAAGAUAAUGAUUUGGAUAAAAGAAUGAAGGAGAAACAUGAAAUCAAUAGUAAAAGCAUUGUUGGGGUUUUCUAAAAAUGGAAAUUUCAAAAGGCUCAAAUCAACGAAGAAGAUGAAGGAGGAAAUAUGUAAAAUGCAAAGCGCAAACACAAGGUUUUAAAUAAAGAGAUUUCAUAUUACAUUAUAUAAUAUAUAUAUUAGGAGGUAUUUAUAUUAUUAUUUUAUGUUGGUUGGUGUGUGUUUCAUUACUUUGAUCAUUAGUUUGGUGAAAUUAUUAUUUUGGUCCUCCUUUUAACUUAAAAUUUGAGAUUUAAUUUCUACAUUUUAAUAUGAUACGAUUUGAUUUUUCGAUUUUUAUAAUAUUAUUAAUUAGUCUAAAUAAUUAACACGGUUGGGAAAAAAUUAGGGGGCAAGCCCCGGCUCCCUUAAAAUGAAAAAUUUUUUAUUUAGACCUUUUAAAUUAAUAAAGGUAAAAUUACACUUUGCCCCCUUAAAAUGAUAAAAUUUGAUUUAAUCCUUUAAAAGUUAUAAAGAUAUAGGCUAUCAAAAUAGUAAAAUUACAUUUUUACUAUUGUAAAAAUUACAAUUUAAUUUCAACCCCUAAAAAUUUUUUUUGGCUUUGCCCCUAUUUAAAAUGAGUAUGUAAUUUUUUUUUAAAAAAAAUAUCUAAUUCAACUUAUCAUUGUUGGUUAGGGUUGAGAAAAAGAAAAAUAAAAAUAAAUCGAUUUGACUUAUAGUGUUUGAUUCUGUUUUAGUUCGAGUUUAUUAAGUUCAUUUGGUUUCGGUUCGAUUAUGGGUUCAUAAUUUAAAAAUUUGUCAUUAUCUAAUCCGAACUAAAUUCUUUUUUAUUUAAUUUAUAAUUAGUUUUUAUAUUAUAAAAUAAAAUGUUUCAUAUCUAAAUUACUUGAAAUAAAUUCAAAAUACCAUGUAUAAGCAAAUUGACUAAACCGGUUCGACCGUAAAAUUCAAUUCGAUUCAAUUUACUUAGCUUUCAUAUUCCAUUCAAUCCCAACACGAAAUUAAAAAAAAUAUUGCAUAAAAACCGUCAUUUUCUUUCAAAAUCGGUCCAAAUCAAACCAUUAUCACCCAUACGCAUCACAUCAAAAUAGAUGCUUUUAGGCAAGAAAAAAGAAAAAGUCAACAUUUUAACCAAAAGUUAUCAUCGAUGUUAACUAUUUAGAUUAAUUAACAACAUUUAAACAGACUAAAUUAUAUCAAAAUACAAUAUAAUAACUAAAUUCUAAGUUUAAGCAUAGUAAAGGGAUCAAAAAUAAAUUUGACCCGUUAAUUCUUUUUCUUAUAUUAUUGACAAAGAAAGGUGAAGCAAUGAGAGGGAAAGAGUAAGCGAAAUGGGCGGAGUUGUCAAGUGCAAGUGGACCUCUCAAACACAUUGUGUGAAAAAGGGGUAAUUAAAUUAAUUUAAUAUUUUAAAUAAAUAAAUGAGAGGAAAAAUGUUGACACCAUUUAUAGCCGACAAGACAAUAAAAUACAACGUUGAUUGCAUCUACCUUGGUAGUUGGAUUUUAGGGGUUAGUUUGGUUAGAUGACUUGUUUUUUCCUUCUUUUUAAUUUUUAUUAAAAACUAUGGACCACCACAAUUGUCAAAUUUCUUCAUUAAGGGAUUUUUUUUUUCACUACCACGUAAAAAAAACGGGUUUGAAUUUUGGAAAUAGAUUGUUAAAAGAAACAGUUACAAACCCUAAACAUGAGCCGUAAAAUAGAUUGACAGAUUGUAUAGUCAAAAUUGUUCUUAAUGAUCUUAAUAAGCUAUCGGUUUUUGAAAACUCACUUAAUCAUACUCAAUUUUUAUUUGAAAAAGAUGCUCAUCGAGCAAUGAUUAAUAUUUCUCAUCAACUUUAUUAUAAUUAAUUCCUUAAAUUUGUGUCUUUUCUAUUUAAAAAAAACAUUAUAAAUGAGAAUUGCAUUUAAAAAAAUUCAAUCAAAGUCAAUAUAUACUGUUUAUAAGUAGAUAUAUAUUUUUUGUUAUAUAACAUUUAUUAAUAAUAAAUUAAUUCAUAAAUUUAAAUUUUCUUUUCUUUUUAUUAGUCAAUGUUAGUCGAAGGAGCUGCUUCUAACAAGUUGGUUGAGCUACGUUUAAUUAAUGACUUACUUAAACAGAAUUGGAAAAUAAGAUUUCGGCAUAUCCAACGGUCUCAGAAUAUGGUCGCUGACUAAAUGACUCAGCAUGCAAAUAAUGGUACACAAAGUUUAUUAUUGUUUACAGAUCCGCCAAACUUAGUUCAAGCAGUUCUACAUGAAGACAUGAAUGCUUCUAAAGGAACCGACAGUUUAAUAUAAUCGCCUAGAGCUGUUAUUUUCUACCAAUAAAAAAUUUACAAUGCGUUUUGAAGAGGUUUUCUCUUUGUUUUUUAAGUUACAAGAUUAUAAUUGUAAUAAUAUAUCCGAACAAAAGCAAUAUCAAGGAAGUUGAUAGGGGUUAGGACUCCUUAAAAUGAAAAAAAAUAUCACAAUAACUUUACAUUUUAUAAAAUAAUAAAUUAGUAAAUGGUCAAAUUACACUUUACCACCCCAAAUGAUAUAUUUUUAAUUUAAUUUUUUAAAAAUUAUAAAGACAUAAAUUAUUACAAUGAUAAAAUUGCGUUUUAGCUUCGUCCCUGCACCCAAAUAUAAACCAUAAUCAACCAUUAUAAAAUACGAUCAUAAUUAACGGUCGAUACAUAUUUGGAUCUAAAUCAAAAUAAAAUCUAAAAGUAACCCACGUAUGAUUUGCAAACAAUGAAUCUCACAAUUUAAUGAAAAAAAAAUUAAAAAAUCGUGAUUUAUAUAAAAAUAAUAUUAAUUUAGUGGCUUAAAAUAUAAAAUUCAUUGGACCAUCCAAAUACAAUGUCUUGGAAAUUUUUGUUCCCACCACAAGGGAACUUGCCAUUGGUGGUGAGAUGAAUUGAAAGGAGGUGAACCAAAUUUUAAGAAUCUUGAGGACAGGUGGCACUUCUUAAUUGGAAGAUAAAUAAAAUCUUUUUAUUUAAAAAUAAAAUCUAUAUCAAUAGAUAUAUAUAUAUAUAUAUAUAUAUAUAUAUAGUGUAGGAAUAAAAUCUAAGGAACAGUUCUCAAAAGAUUUGUAAGGAGAGAACCCACAUGCCAAAACCUAGGAAUUUAUUUAUUUAUUUAUUUUAGCUAUAAAAAAAUAUGAUUUAACAAGUAAAUUGAGUUUUAAUUCAAUUGGCAUAAACAUUGUUGCUAAUAUAAGAGAACGUGGAUUCGAAUAUACUAACACGUAUUAUCCUCUUAUUUAUAAAUUAGGGAGGAGUUAUAGGUAAUUUUAAGUAUUACAUAAAAAAGAACAGAUAUGAUAAGAAUCUAUAAUCAGAUUGUUUAAAAAAAUAUAUAUAUAAUUUAACAAAUAUUGGUGGGUUGCUUCAUAAUGAAUAUAAUUUAGUUGGUAAUUAGAUAACCUAAUAAUACAAUAUAUCAUAUAUAGUCAUUGAUGAUACAAGAUUUAAGCUUACCCAAUUCUUUGGAAUUUUGUUUUAAUUUUAAUAAUUAUUGUUAAGGUAAAAGGAAAUAAAUUUGAAUUUGUUGAGGAUCGAAUUUUGAGUUGGAAGUUUAGAUUUUGAGUCUAAAUUUGUUAUUUGAAAACGUAAAUCAUAUUUGAAUAACAAAUAUUCAAAUCCAAAUCUAUUAUCUAAAAAAAAUUAAAAUAAAUUCAAAUGAUAGAUAUUUGAGGGUUAAUAUCUGCGUUAUGAUUGUAAUUAGAAUACCUGAAUUCGAAUAUUAUCUAGAUUAAAAUUAGUUGCAAAUAUUCGAAUUUCUACUAAACAUAACAAUCCCACCUUCUAAAAUUCCGGCUAUAUUAAUAGUUUCAAUCAAAAUAAAUCAUUUCAAUGAAUUGAGUAACUAACUAAUCAUAAUCAAAAUAAAUCUCGUGUUGGUGAUAAACUUGAUUAAGCAAUGAACAAGUAAAACUUUUCGAAGAGGAUAAAAAAUCAUGGGUAAAAAUAAUUUCACUAUAACGACAAAAAAAGAAGAGUACAAAAAUGGAGAUAAAACUAAACCCCAACUUGAAAAUAAGAACCCUUAAAACGUAAACAUAAAAUUCUUUGAAAGCUUGAAAAGUUAAUACCCAAAUAUGUUGUGAGUUAUGUUUUUAAAGUGAAAAAAAUAAUCUAUUUAUAGACUAAAUUUGUGGGUCAAAUAAUAUUAAAAUAACUAAUAUUAAUCAAAGAAUUCAAUUAGGAGAAGAAAUACUGAACUUUACAUCUCUAAGAUAAGCCAAGAUAUUUAUAUAAGAUAAAAUUCGAAAUUAAAGUUUGUUUUUUAAAUUUUCAUUAUCAAAUAGAUUUUUUAUUGAAUGAUUAGACUGAAUAUUAUUUGUUGUUGGUGGUGGUGGGACCAAAUUGAAUAGAUCCCAUUAAAUCCAAAAACUCCCAUUUAUGAGAAAAGGAUAGUUAUCCAUGUGAGAGGGCUCAAUUAAUGAAUUAUGAAAUGAAAGGGGGGUUGGGAAAAUUGGAUGUUGAUUUGUGAGCCAAACUAUAGCCAUAACAAUAAAAGCCAUCCCUUCAUUAUUUGUGGCCUAACUUUCCCACCAAACUUUCCCCAACACCACAAAUGUUUAAAAUCAAAGGAUUAUUUUUUAACUUUUUAAAAAUUUGAGUCAUCAAAAUAUAAAUUUAUUAAAAAUUUAACGAUUUUAAGUACAGUUUAUUCAAAAUCUUAUGAAGUAUGGUUUUUUUGUUGGUUUUUAACUAAAUCUAUUCAUAGCGGAGCUAAGUUGAUAUUUAGUACCAAAAAAUUUUCAAGCUUGACCCUAAUCUGGUUUGAUCUGACCCUGUUGUUCAUAUAUCGAUAAAUUAUUAGUAUAAACUAAAAUCUAUCUUACACACUUUCAUAAUUUUUAUACAAUAAAAAUUUAAAUUGAACGGAUAUACUUAUCAUAUAAAUAAAGAAAAUUGCAAUUAUCAUAACAUUUUAAAAAAUAAUAAAAUAAUUAAGACAUUUUUAAUUUACUUAAAACUCGACGCUUAUAAAAUAUGAAAUAUGGGUUUUGAUUUAAUUAAAUAUUAUUAAUAUAACAAAUUAUUAUCUAAUUAAAAAAAUUAAUUAUUAUCCAUUUUGCAUUGUUACUCACAUGAUGGUGCUCCCAAUGUCCACUAGCAUAGGAUUUGCCAUGUGAAGCAAUAAGGCCUGCUAAAAUAUUGUAUAAGUUUUAACAUACUAGAUAUGUUAUUUACUAUUUGUUUUUGUUGUCUUUUAAUUGAUUAUUUUAUUUGGUAAAAUAAAAAAAAUUAAUUUCAUGCAUGUAAAAAUUGUGGGUUUAUUUGGAAAUUUUGAAUGUUUAUAUUUUUUUGAGUUUUUUUUAAUUUUAAUAUUUUGGUAUUGACUCGAAUAAUAAAGUUAAAUUUGUUAAGUUUUAUUGUCAGUCCUGUAUUAUGUGUAACAUUGUAGGUUUAAUUUAUGUUUUUCAAUUUGAUCAUUCUUUAUUCUUAUACUUUUUAAAAUUUAAAAUUUUAGUUUUGAAACAAAUGAAAGUCAUUAAAUAUAUUCAUUGGUUUUUUUAUAAGAAUAUUGUUAUAUUUUCACCAAAGCAUUUGAUUAGUAUAGAAACCUCACCAAGACUUCAUGAGGAGAACUUUGCCCCCAGAGGCGAAUCCAAGGGGGCUGGCAGGGGUCCCGACCCAUUUUAAAAUAAAAAAUUGUUGUUUUGGCUCUUUAGAUAAUUUUAAAAUUUUAAAUUAAUAAAGAUAAAAUUACACUUUGGCCCCCUUAAAAUUAUAAAAAUUUAAUUUAAUCAUUUAAAAAUUAUAAAAAUAUAAACUAUUAAAAAUUAAAAUUUUAUUUCGGCCCCCUUAAAAAAAAUUUCUAGCUUUGCCCCUGUCGCCCCUAUGAUCACAUCUAAGCUUCAUGUCACACUUAGCGAGCUCACACAAUCUGCAAUAGAUAUAUUAGGAAAAUCUUUGACAACAUCCAUCAAUCCAUCACAUCCAACAAAUGUCUCGUUCAAUCCCUUCAACUUUGACUCCAAUAAUGUCUUAAACAAGCAUCGUUUACCUUAUCACGAUUCCCAUUAUUUAACCCACAUGUAGCCAUCAAUGAUGUUUGAAUCGAUCGAUUAGACCAAUAAUCAAUUGAGACAUCAAUCUAUAGAAUGACAUUGAAUCGGUUGGAUUGACAACUGAUAUGGAUCGAUUGAACUGGGUUUUUAUUUUUUAAUUGAAUCGAUUAAGACCAACAAACUAAUUAUCUAAUCAAUUCAACUAACAGUUCGAUUCUAAAACCUACAAAAACUUUACAAAAGCACGAUCUCGACCUCUUCAAGUCACGAAAUAAAAAAAAACUUAAAAAAAGGGUUUUAUUGUAAAUUUAUAAUAUUUUAAAAAAUACAAAUUGUAUACUAAAAUAUAAAAUUUUAUAUUUUUGUAUUUUUUUAAAAGAAAAAAAAAUUGACUUGAAGAAGAAACAAGCCUUGAUGGAGACAACUUUUAAGUUGUUUGUUUAGAUAAUAAUUAUGAUGAAUUAUAAAUAGUACAGCCUUUUUAAAACUAUAAUAAAUCUGUCAUUUGAUAGCUUUGGUAUUUAUGGCCUUGUGAAGGUCAUAAUCAUGAUUGUUGGUAUCGUAUCGAUAUUGGUCGUAUUAAUUGAAAUAUAUUGUUUAAUUCUAAAAUUGGUAUUAAAUAAUUUAUGAUAUGUUUCGAUAAAUAUUAGUUUGUAUUAAUGCUUAUAUGCUCAAAAAAAAGAUACAAUUUUUUAAAUUUUUUAUAAUUAAAUAAAAAUAAAAAAAGUUAUUUAAUAAUUUAAGUGAUAAAUCUCAAAACUACAUAUAAACUUUGAUUUAAUGUGCAAUUUGAUAUAUGAGCUUAGAUUUUGUGUAAUUAGAGUUCUCUAUAUGUUGGGCCACUUGAUCAGGCCUAAAGGCUCGCUCAAAAAUUGAGAGUGUAUGGACAAAAAUAUAAGCUCAGAAUAUGGACUUGGACCAAAAAUGAGGCCCGUUUUUUAAAUGGGUCGGGCCUCAAAUAAGCUUUUUUAGCCCGAGUCUGACUCGGAUACCUUAACAAAGUAUCGACACACUAUCUGGUAUCGAUACCAUUUUAAGGUUUUAUAUUUUGAAAAUUAAAGAAAAAUUGUCUUGAGUACCAAUACCCUCAUCAACAUAUCAAUACAUUCCUUAUUGUAUCAAUACUACAUGUUUUAAUACGGAUCAGGUCGAUCUGGGCCUAGGUUUAGUAUAUAUAAUCUGGGUCGAGCUUAGGCAAAAAUUUAGUCCCAUUUUUUGAGUUGGGCCAAGCUUAGCCCUAUCAAUCGGGCCUAAAAUUUUGUUAGAGCUUGGCUUGACCCAUGAAAAACUCUAGGUGUAAUCAAUCACAUUAAAUUUAGAUUGCAAUUUAGAUGUAUGUAUGUAAAUGUAAAAUGGUUCUAAAUUGAUGAUUAUGUUGGUGAUUAAUGAAAAUUGGAUUAAAUGAAAAUUUCAAUAUUAUUCUUUAAUAUAUAUUUAUAUAUUUAAGGCAUAAAAUAUUUUUAUACCAAAUAAAUAAUUAAAUAGUUUUAAUUAGACUCGAUAUAUCAAUUGAUACUCGAGUUUGACAUUUUCUUUAAUAUAGUAUUUAUAUUAUUUUUUGGUGUAACUCGACACUUGUAUUUAAAAAAAAUUAUAUAUUUUGAUAUCCGAAAUAACAAUGCUAGUUUUUCAAACUUUAAUUCGGAUUGUAAGGUGGAUUUGAUUAAUGCUAAUUACUAAUAUUAUUAUCUUUUAAUUUUUCAUAAUUUUGUUAAUAAAAUAAACUUGGUGUUAAUUGUAAAUUUAUUUAAUUUUGUAUUUAAUUUGUCAAAUAAAUACAUUCAGAUGGAUGCAAUUUAAUUUAAAUUUUAAAUUCAUCAAAUCAACUCUAAAACCCGAAUUAAACAUUAAAAAAUUAACACAGAUACCCGAAUUAACUCUAAAACCCGAAUUAAACAUUAAAAAAUUAACACAGAUACCCGUUAACAAAAAUACAACACUUCAAAAUUAAUAUGGACAAAGUAAAAAAAGAAGUAAAGUAAAAAACUAAAAAGAACUAUACAAAAACACAAGUAAAUUGUUCAUAUAUAAAUAUUCAUCAUGCUAUCAUGAAUACACAUUCACAACUAUUUUUUUUUUAACCUUUGUUACAUAUACCACUCCCUAUCUUCAUUUUGUUUCUUAAUUCUAAAGCAUCAAACUAAAUCACAUUAUUAUUUUUGCCCUAAAUGUUUUUACAACAUUUUAAGUAAUUAACAUACAACAACUUUUUGCCAACAUUUAUAAAUGUCAUGUUAUUGUUACCAAAAAAACAUUAAGACACAAUGUAUCCAUGUUUCUCGGGAAGAUUUCGAUGCUUGAUGUUGAGGAAGAGCAGCGGCAGCGGCUGCGGUGCGGGCAAUCAGUUUGUUCAUAGGAGAUGGAUUUUAUUAUCUUGCUUCUCACUCGCGAGGUCUAGCCAGCCAGAGAGAACUCAGAGCUCGGAGCCGAGAGAAAUAGUCGUUUAUUGCAAGAAGGGCACGAGCUGAUUGCCGAGUCGUCAAGAUCCGGUGCAUCUGUUGAAGUGUCUGCUGGCGUAGAUUAUCGGCCUGGUAAGUUAAAAAAAGAGAGACCGUUAAAUAUGGUGAUCACCUUAUUUAUAAGCAAUGUUUUGAAAACAGAACCGAUGGUUGAAUCAAUCAACCACCAGUUCCCGGUUCAACCAAUUUGACAGUCAAUCCAACAAUAAAUAAAUAAAUAAAACUAUAAACCAACUCAACCACCGUUUUUUGUCCCGGUUCCGAGCAGUACGCUCAGAGGCCGGUUUAAUCUCUGUCUGGACCAGUAUAUUGACUGGUUCCUGAUCCAACCGGUUCAAAUUGCUAAAUCGGUCGAGUUCCAACAACACUAUUUAUAAGACUAUAAAUUAAAUCCCUAGAUAUGAUUUUGUAAAAGAAAAUGGAACAUGUAGUAAAAUUUGGAAGCGAUGCACUAAAAAGAAUCAAGAGAUUAAGAAGUUCCUCGGUACAGUGGAAAGAAAAUUGGAAAGAAAGAAAGCUAUAUAUAUUGGUGUUUUGUGUAGGAAACAUGAAGAAGAGAAAAGAGUGAAUUUUUCUAUCUAUUACUCGGAAAAUUCAAAUAUGAAAGGAAAAAGAUGCAUAAUCCCGAGAAUACGCACCCUAAAUCCAAAUUUAGAAGUCAUUUUCCUUAUUUUCUUUCCUUUCCCACCAAACACACCUCUCUUUCUUUCUCUCUCCACCACAAUAAAAUUGCAAAACAUGUAGGGAAGCCAUAUUACACAGAGAAGGGAAGUACCUGACGAAGGAACCCUUCGAGGGUUCCUAGCUUUCCCAUGGCCAUUGCCAUUUGGCCCAUAUAAUUUGCCACAUUCCCAGAUGGUCCCGAGGGAGCAGGUGAGCCAUUGGCCAAUGUCUCGGCCAAGGAUUGUUGUAAUGCUUCCAUCCCUUGUGACAAAGCAUCUUCGGCCUGCUGGGAUGAUUGCUGCAAGUUUUGGAUACCCAUAAACUGUUGCUCAGUUAGAGGCUCCAACUGACUUGCAAGAAGCUGCAAAAGACAUCAAUUAAGUUCAGAAAAUUAUUGAUAAACACCAGUCCAGGCACUUGAAAAUCAAGCUUCGAGUCUGUAUGUAACUAGGUUCCAGGCACUUGAAUAUCGAAACCUAAUAAAGCACCAUGCCAGAAAUCGCUUUGUAAAAGAAGAACAGAGCUCACCUUAAGGAGCUCGGAUGAACGGAAGCCACCUAUCCACAGAAAACACCGCUCUGCUGGUGUUUUCCACAUUCCCGAUAAGAUAUGGAAAACAUCAGCUUUUGCAGCAAUACCUUUCAAACGGAAAAUGUCAUCAAAAUGAGCUGUGACGCUGUCGACAAUAGUGCGAAGUUCGGCGUCACCAGCAUGUGAAUUGACUGCAGCCCUCAACUCGUUUAUAUGCUUAUUGUGCUCCUCUAGCCACCGUGAAUACUCAACGUCAAAUGCCAAGGCACCUGUAUAGCAGUCCAUAAAUGUUCGGGCCAGGUCAAACAAAGGCAUCCAUAAUUACUUGAACUCCGAGCCCCUAGCACUAAAUCAUAAUACCAGUUUUCAAAUUCCGAUGAUGAAAAUAAAGCUUACGCACCAUUUCCACUCAUCGAAUGAGAUUGAUCUCCCGUGCUUGAAAUGAAUAUACCCUGCAGUUAAAGAAGUAAAGAUAAAGAAACGUGAGGCAUAAUAAUAGCCAGCAUUAUCAGCCCAAAAACCUAAGAAUUCAAAAUAUACGUCACAAUAUUGAUGGGAUAAUAGAGCAAACCUGUUGACGAGCUCGCUGCAGUUCUUGCUCAAGUUGAGUCAGUUUCAGUCGGCUACUCUCUAGCUGUUGCACAUACGCCUAUAUUUUGAAAGCAGAAAAAAGGAUUAAGAAUAAAGGUGGAUUUUUACGAGUGAUCUCUGAACUUAAUUUAAAAUAAAGACAAAAUGGAACUCUACCAUAUUAGGAACUUGAAACAAGAAUACAAUAAAAUCUUGAGAUAGGAACACAAUAAAAUUGAAAACAUUAAAGAAGUUUAAUCGAUCAAAUACCUUCUUCCUUAACCGGCUUUUUCUUGCAGCCUCCCGAUUUUGAGCUAGCCUACGCAAUGUCUGCAAAUUAGUCAUUGAGAAGAGAAAAUGAUUAGCUCAUCAAUAUUAUAUUACAAGGAUAACUACUUAGCAAUAUAUAUAGGCAUAAUGAUAAAUUUAGCUCCUAAAGUUUAUCUCUUUUGUCACUUUGGCCUAAUUCCUUUUUUUAUCACUUUAGCCUUAAAUCUUUAAAAUUUAGUCAAAUUGCAUUUUUGAGUUGGAAAGGUUAACUGAACAAUAAAUAUUUUAACCGCACUGAUGUGGCAACUUGCAUGGCAGUCCACGUUUAUUUCACAAAAAAUAAAAAAUAAAAAAUAUUAAAACAUUCAACAAAUUUCAAUAAAAAAGUUUUUAGAAAAUUUUAUUCAUGUUAGCCGUGAAGUACAUGUAGACUGCCACACAAGCUGUCACAUCAAUGCCAUUAAAAUGUUAACAGUUCAGUCAGCUUUUCCGUCCAAAACAAAACAGUUUGACUAAAUUUUGAAAGUUGAGGGCUAAAGUGAUCCAAAAAAAUUCAGGGCCAAAGUGACAGAAUAAGUAAAUGUUAGGGGUUAAACUUGCAUUUAUGCCAUAUAUAUUACAAGGAUAAACUGAUACAACAGUAUAAUAUUCUGGUUGUCCUAAUUUCAAAUUUAAAUAAAAUAAAAUAAAUUAACCUUCUGGUCUGUUUUAUCUUUUGAUCUGUCACUAGAAUCGGAAGCCACGAUAGCAUUUGUUUGACCUCUUCCAAACUGCACAAAAAGGUCAACUAAGAUUCACAAUUAACCAGCAAGCAUAUUCUCAAACACAAUAAAUGCACGCCAUGCACACGUUACAUAUGUGAAUUUGUUUAUUAUUUCUCAAUGAUGAAACAAAAAGUAAAUUCUCAGAUCAAUAAGUUGAAAUGAAAACUAAAAGCCCAAAAAGCAAGGGUUUUAAUUGCUGCAUAUGUAAGAGGCAUUACCCUUUGAUUCUUCUCUUCAGUGUCGUCUGUUGACGUAUCAGUCCUAGGGCUGCCAUCUGCCAUAUUGGAAUCUCCCCAAUUCUCCCGACCAACUGAUAUGUGUGGAAGAUUCGGUUGGUUAUCUUUCUGAAGUGGUAAUGUUUGGGAUCCCACUACAGCAGCAGAGAGAUUGUUGUCUGCAGAUGCAAGUGUCUUACACAAUACAUGCACACACACGAAAAGAACUCUCAGUAACUAAAUUUAUGUCAAAAAGUUCGAAGCUCAACCAAAACUUUCUAAAGGAGAUAGAUGCCUACCUUGCUUAAAGCACCAAAUUGAGCAUCAGCUAAUGCUUGGGAACUUGAUUUUAUUUGAUUAAAUAGUGGAUCUAAAAGACGAAAAACAUUAUCAGUUGAAUAUAUAUAAAAAUAAGGCCCCUAAAGAAAAGAAGAAAAAAAUGAUAAAUAAUCGAACAAUAUAAUGGAAAGUUCAAUGAAUACUAGACCAAACCAUUAAGCAACCCACAUCAUCACUAUAGAUGGUGAGUUACAAGAGUCAAUCCAUUUGUGCUGCAAUAUAAAGAAAUAAAAACAAAAUGCAGAACAUAUUCAACUUACGAGUUUAGCCGGAAAGUAGUACAAUAAAUCAUGCAAUUAUCCAUGAAACAUAAAAUCAAAUGCUGGCAUAUGUCCAUUAAUAGUAAAUUGAAGACCAAAAUUACAUACUUCUGGUAAGAUCAAUAGCAUCCUCUAAGCGAAAUUGAUCAAGGUUUCCAAAGUCUGGAAGCUGAGAAGAACGAAUGGCAUUUGCCUCUGCCCCACUGAAAUUCAUGUCAUUAAAACAUGUGUUAAAUGUAAGGGCAGUAUAAUUCAAUAAGUAGAAGAUUAGGUCUAUAUUCCAAGCCAAGAAAAAAAGCUACAUCGGAAUAUUUAGCAGUUCACCAAGAUCAGUUUGCAUGUUUUAAUAAAACUCUAAAUUGAAGUAAAAGCAAAAGCAAAAGCAAAAUUCUCAUAUUCUUGAAUAGUAAUAGUUCUAUGAAAACAGAGAGUUGAUAAACAAAAAAAGCACUCUAGAAAGUCAAGCAGCAUAUAAAUAGAGAUUCCAUUCAGAUUACUAGGGAUUCUUAAAUGUGCAAAAACUUGAAGUGAACCCGGGACAAGUGAUCAUCAAACAUAACCAUACAACCUUAACACCUAUGGAGGGAAAAAACAGUACAUGAACCUUUCAGUCAACAUAUACUAUUCUUUCUACAUAUGACAAGUUGACAACGAAACAAUAUAUUAACUCCCAGACUCAUCCCCUUCCUAUACUUAUAACGAACAUAAAAAGCCACGAAUUCUGCUUCGCUCAUCUUAGAAUUGCAAACUCGAAGUGCACUCAGAGACAGGCAAUUAUUGAAUAUAAUACAACCUUAACACCUACAAAGGAGAAUAAUAACGGUUCUAUAUCACGAUGCGAACCUUUCAGCCAACAUAUAUGAUUCUUUCCACAUAUGACAAGUUGACAACGAAACAAUAUAUUAACUUCCACACUCGUCUCCUUCCUAUACUUAUAACUAACAUAAAAGUAACAAAUUCUCCUUCGCCUAUCUCAAAAUGGCAAACUCGAAGUGCACUCAGAGACGGGCAAUUAUUGAAUAUAACCAUACAACCUUAACACCUACAAAGGGAAAAUAAAGGAAAGGCUUUAAAACAUGAUGAGAACCUUUUGGUCAACAUACUUUCCACAUAUGACAAGCUGAUAACGAAACAAUACAUUAACUCCCAGACUUGUCCCCCUCCUAUACUUAUAAUGAACAUAAAAAACCAUGAAUUCUCCUUCGCCCAUCUUAGAAUUGCAAACUCGAAGUGCAAUCAGAGACAGGUAACUAUUGAACAUAUCCAUACAACCUUAACACCUACAGAGGAGAAAAUUAAUGGUUCUAUAUCACGAUGCAAAUCUUUCAGUCAAUAUAAUACCAUUCUUUCCUUGGAUGACAAAUCGACCAAUAUAAAACGACAAAAAGAACAAUCUAUUAAUUUCAUGAUUCACCCCUUAAGUAAUACUAAUAUUUUCUUAUUCCUAUACCUAACAUAAAACGAAGUUAAUUCUCGAUUCAUCGAAAAUUAUAAAUUCAAACUGCUUCAUUAAAUACCUACAAUCAAUCAAACCAAUUCUACUUUACUACAAACUCAUAUAAAUAAUUGAUGAAUUCAUACAAAAAGUAAACUAAAUGCUCAUAAAACAGUGUUAAAAUACCUGGAAUUUGAAGUCGGUACUGAAGGAACGUAGCUCGGCAUCGCUGAUAAAUCUUUUUUAUUAUUUUCUACACCAUUUUUCAACGUUCUACUGCCCAUGGAUCACAGCUAAACCAUAUCAUCAUCCAAACACAAUUUUUUGGUAUUAUCCUUUUACAGCAAACCACUUUUUCCACUCUUUCAAUUUCGUCCACUGAGUCAACCAAAAAUACACAAAUAACUCGGAUAAAAGUAACCCAAAAUGAUAAUUAUAAGCUAUAUAUAAUCAAACUUCUCAAAAGAAAAAAUAAAUCAACAAGAUUUUCCACUAUAUUCACCUACUAUUCAGUACAAUUGUCCAAAAAACAAAAACCCAAAUCUAGAAACAAACUAAAUAGCAAAAUAAUUGACUGUAAAUCAUAAAAUAAAAAAUAAAAAACCAGCCUUGGGUGUUUUUUUUUUUCUGGUUCUGUGCUGAAAUUCAAAGCUGAACUUGAACUGAGAAUAACUAGUUUAGCUAAAAAAACAACAACAACAAAAGGUACUAUUAACUGAACAAGAAAAUAAGGGAGAGAACAGACUAGAAGAGAAGGGGAAAAAAAAGCCAAAGGGAAAAGGGGAAACCCUAACAAAGCUUAUUUGAAGAGUAAGAAAAAUAAAUUUUUAAAAAAGUAUUCCUCCAUUUUUGACUUUUUCGAUUGUAUAUGUAUGGAUUAGUCUUUUUCUUUUUUUCUAUAUAUGUAUGAAUUAGUCAAUACAUACAUAAACAUUACGCAAUAUAAAAUUCAUCUAUACAUACAUAUGCAGAAAAAACAGAGAAACUCUGCCAAUCAAACCUUGACAUGGUUGGCUACUCUUCAGGUAAUUUCAUUUGCAAAAAAUAAUUUUUAUUUUUUUAAAUAAAAACAAGUUUGAAAAAUAGAAAUAGAAAUUUGUUUUUAAUUAUGAAAAUAUAAAAAAAAUGUUUGGUAAUUAUUCUUUUAUAAUAGAAACACGAGAAAUAAAAUAAAAAAUUAAUUUAUUGGAUUUAAAUUAGGGUAUCGAAUUUAAUAUUUAAAAAUUUGUUCAAAAAAAUAUUUUGUAUUUAUAUGAGGCCGAUUUAUUUAAAGUUAAAAACUUUUGUUUUCAUAAUUUCCACUUUUACCUUGUAUUUUUAGUAAAAACAAUGAAAACAACUUUUUUUUCAAACAUGUUUUAAUUUUUUUAAAAAGGGAUUAUGUCGGACUAUUUUUAUUAAAAGUAUAAUUAAAUUGUCAAGACAAUAAAUAUAAAUACGUGUUUUAAAUAUAUUUAUGUGAUGUUUGAGUUCGCAUUUAAUGACUAAAGUAAUAACUAAGCUGAUGAACGAGGUUAAUUGAUAAGAUACUAAUACUUUAAUAAUUCAAUUAAAAAAUUAAAUUUGAAGCAAAAUUAAAAUCUAGGAGGAUCUUGGGGCAAUUAAUCAAAAUUUUUGCCUCAUUAACUAUUAGUUAAAAUUUAAUUCCUUUUUAGAGAAAAAAAUAUAUAAUCGAAUUAUAUUUUUUUAAUUAAAUAAUUAAAUAUCUAAAAUUUGUUUUCAUUAAUUAUUUUCCUUUUUUAUAAUCUAUUAUUGUAAUGAUGGUUGUCAAAUAAAUGAUAUCAAUGAGGAAGAAAUGUUAUGUAAUUACAGUAUAUGAUUAAAUAAUGUCUUGGUAUUAUCGAUUGAGUGUUAGCUUAAUUAGUAUCGGUGUCAAUAUUAUUGUCAAUGCAAACGUGGAUUCAAGUUGGUCGAAGCGCAUUAUCUUCAUAUUUAAGGGUUAGAGAGAGAUUAUGUCUAGUUCUAGACAUUGUAUCAAAAAGAGCAGAUAGAUAUGAAAUGUCCUGUCAUUUAAUUUUUUUUAAUUUAAAUUUUAGAACAUUUAUAGAAAAGCAAAUAUAAAAUGUCAAUUGAGUUUUAAUUUAAUUGGCAUUGACAUUUUUGCUAGUGUAAAAAGACGUGAAUUCGAGUACGCUGAAGUGUAUUAUACUCCUAUUUAAGAAUUUGAGAAAGAUUAUAAAUAAUUUUAGGCAUCAUAUAAAAAAACAAAAUAAAUAGCAAAAUAUACAAUUGAAUACAUCAUUUUUUUUACUUUUCAUUUUUCUCUCUACCAUUCACUUUUUUUUAAUAUUUUCUCUCUUUAAAAAAAACUUUUGAUUACUUUUCCUAUGGAUUUGGAUUAAUUUCACAAAACAUCUUUAAAUUAUGAAUUAAAUUUUAACUUAGUCUAAAAAUUUUAAAAUGUUACAAUUAAGUGUUUAAAGUAUCAUUAUCGAACGUUUUCAUAAUAAUUCAAAUAUGAAAUGGAGCUAUAUCUAAAGAACGUGGGUAAAUUUUUAAACACGUAUAUACCUAUCGAAUGAGCAUCUUAAAUUUGACAUAUUUGGAAAAACAAUAUUUUUAAAAUUUUAAUAACACUGUCUCUUUUUUUUUUUUUUUUUUGUUUCUAACAUGCUAAAUGCUAACGGUGCAUGUAAUAGAUGUACACAUGUUUAAAUUUGAUUUGCAUAUCUUUAAUAUGUAAGUUAGAUUUGAUUUUGUAUUUAAUGCAUAAUCAUUGUUGUCCAUGGGCUUAAUGCAACAUGUUAUACCUAAAUUUGACACCUUUUUUUUUCCUUAAUUUGGUAUUUGAACUUGAUAUUUUUUAUUGAGUUGGUGUUAAAGCUCUUUUUUGUUCAAUUUUGUACCUAAAUUUUGCACUUUUUCCUAAUUAGGUACAUAAACUUGUCAAAAGUUAUACAAAUUACCUCCAAAACACUAACAAUGUUAGUUUUUUUACGAGAGGGCAACAAAUAGCUAAUUGAUGACCAAGAUGUGGUAGAUGACAUUAUUUUUUAACAACAUGAAUGGUUACUUUUAUUUUGAGUUUCCUCUCCGAUAAAUAAUAUCCUCAAAUUUCACUUUUUAAUGAGGUUGAGAUAACUUUGUCUAUUAAUGGUAGAAAUGAUUUAAGAGGGACUACAUGUUUAAAGCAUGGCACGGUCUUGACAAAGCUCUCAAUUUCGCAAAAAUAUCGUUGGAAUCAGAGAAAUCUAUGUUCAAAAAUUUUGCUUUGAGCUAUACUUAACUAAUAGAUAUUGAAGAAGAAAAUAAUAGUUUUAAGAAAAAAAGAAACCCAUUGUUCUAAAUUAAAAAAAACAAAUAAAUUAAACUAUAACUAAUUUAACAUUUAAAAUAAAAUAAAACAAAAUAAAAUAAAAUAAAAAGAAACCAAAUAAAUACUAACACUUCUAUGAUUGAAUUAAAACAUUUUAAAAUUUAAAAUUCGAUUUAAAAAUUGGACCAUUUGAUUUUUAAACUUUUUAUUUCUUAAUUUAUAUUUUUUUAUUUUACUUAUAACGAUGAACUAUAACUAUCCGUGAGUUGUAUUGCAAUUUUCUUCUAAAAAAUUUAAAGUCCAUAACUAUUUCGAAGCUAGGCAAAUAGGGGCGAAGCGAGAAAAUUUUUUUAGGGGUGGAUGAAAUUUUAAUUUUUUAUAGUUGAUAUCUUUAUAAUUUUUAAAUGAUUAAAUUAAAUUUUUAUAAUUUUAGGGGGUCAAAGUGCAAUUUUACCUUUACUAUUUUAAAUUUUUUUAAAAAAAAUUUAGGGCCUAAAAUUUAAUUUUACAUUUUAGGGAGGCCGGGGCCCAUGCCAGCCCUCCCCUGGCUUCGCCCCUAUAGGCAAACCUAUUUCUCCACCGUUUUAUUCUUCAAAAUUUUAAAAAAUAUGUUUGUUAACUUUGACUUUUUAUUUUAUUUUAUUUUUGAACAAUUUUAUUAUAGGUUCUGAUCAUAUCUGCUCUUUUUGACAUAAUGUCUAGAACUACCUAUAGUUAGACUUGUUGAUGGAUCAGGCCACCCAGAAAGUGGGAAUAUUUGGGUAAAAAUAUAGGCUCAAAAAAUGGAUUUGGACAAAAAAACAAAGUACAUUUUCUAAAUGGGCUGAUCUUGGUAAGUUUUUUUGCUCCGAGUUCGGUCGACCCAAAUUUACAAAAAAGAAAAAAUUACUUUUUUAUUGUUUUGCUAUCAUUUCGCUAUUAUAUUGAUAUUAUUUUAUUGUUAUUGUUUGAAUAUUGUAUAACUAAUAUUUUAUUAUUAACUUUGCUACUAUUUUAGAGGUAUUUACUUUUUAAGUUUCGCUUUAUUUUAGUGUUAUUUAAGUAUUUUUUAUCUAUUUAUUAGAAAUCUUUAUUUUAAUAUUUUUAGUGUAUUUGAUGUAUUAUAUUUUAAAAUUUAUUAUUAUAUAAAAAUAACAAUAUAAAAAAAUUAAUACAGUUGGGUCGGACCAAACUCAAGUUUUAACAUUUUUAUUCAGGUUGAGUUUGAGCAAAAUUUUAGGCUCAUUUUUUUGCCUAAAUUUUUACUUAGUCCGACCCAUAGACAACUUUACCUAUAGUCCUUCCCCAACCUAUAUAUAGGAGGAUAAUACGGUUUAGCACACUCGAACCCACGUCUUCUUGCAUUAAUAAAAAUACUCAUACUAAUCGAGUCUAAUUUUUUAUUACUUUCACUAAAUUUGAACUAAAUUAAAUUAUUCCAAAACAUAAAAAUUUAUAUUCAAAUCAAAUCGGAUGGAAUUAACUAACACAACCAUCAACAAUUCUAAUUAAGUCUGAUAUUAUUAGAUUUUCUCAACAUAAAAUAUUAAAAUUAAUCACCAGUCUUAAAAAUCACAUCAUCAUUUAAUAAAGUAGUGAUAAAAGACAAAAUUCACAUCUUAGGCACUUUAACAAAUAAUUACAAAAGUAAUGUUUUUUUUUUCUUUUUUCUUAAAUAAUUGCAAGUUGAUUGAUUGUUUAUUAAAAUAAAUUAAAAGUAUCAAUGGAUGCACUAUUUUCCUUAGUAUUUUUUUAUGAUUUUAAUAUGAAAUUAAUGUCACUUGCAUGUGAUGUUUAUGUCACUUUCAUAUGUAUGUUGAUGUAUUUUUCAUUAUGUUCUUUGAUGUAUUGACAAUAUUUAUUAAAAAUAAUAAUUAUAUUUAUUUUUUAUUUUAAAACAAAUUUUAGGGUUUUUUAAAUAUAAUCUAAAUUAAUUAAUUUUUUAUGAAAAUAAUUUAUUUAUAAAAUUAUAUAAAAAAUGAUCCGUUUUGGACAAUAUGUUUCGAUGUCGUCGUUGUCAUUAGCAGCACUACCCUUCAUAAUUGACUAAUUAUUGGCUGGUUUUAAAAAAUAAAAUUUUUGGAUGCCGUCGUUGCCAUUGACAGCAUCAAACUGAAGUGUGAUUAUAUAAAAUAUUUAGGGUCCUAAAGCAGUUCCCCUUUUUAGAUUAGAUGAAAAAGGGGUGCAUCCAUGAUUGCUGGCGGCUUCCAAUUAAAUGAUUUUAAAUUUUUUGUCUAUUUGCAUGUUAGGUCAAUUCCUUUUUGAAAUUAAAUUUAAAUAGCCCUUAAAAUAUUAGAAUAACAAAAAUAACCCUUUCAUUUUUUUUAUAAUAACCCUUUCAUUUUUUUAUCUUUUUUAAAAACAAUAAAAAUUAUAUAAAAUUUUUAUUUAAAUUACUCAAAUAUAACCCUAAAAAAAUUUCCUCUAGUUUUAAAUAAAAAAAUUUACAUGAGAAAAAUUCUCGAGGGAUAUAUUUAAGUAAUUUAAAUAAAAAUUUUAUAUAAUUUUUAACUUUAUUAUUUUAAAAAAAUGAAAAGGGUUUAUUUUUGUUGUUCUUGUUUUUUUAAAAGACUAUUUAAAUUUAAUUUCAAAAGGGGAUGGAUCUAAUAUGCAAAUAGACUAAAAGUUUAAAAGCAUUUAAUUGGGAGAUGCGCAAUCGUGGCUGACACUUUUUUCCAUAUAAUCUGAAAAGGGUAAUUGCUUCAUCAGAUCCCUGAAUGUUUCAUAUAAUCACAUAUUAGUCUAGUGCCGCAAAUGACAACAAUAACACCCAAAAAAAUUAUUUUUUAAAACCAACAAAUGAUUGGCCUAUUAUGAAGGGUGGUGCCGUCAAUGAUAAUGGCAACACCGAGGUUCAUUGAUCAAAAUGGGUCAAUUUUAUACACAAUUUUGUAAGUGAAUUAUUUUCAUAAAUUAUUUAUUUAUUUCGAUUUUUUUCUGAAAAAAGACCCAAUUUUUAUUUUCUUAUAAAUAAUGUGUAAUUAUGUUAUAAGUUUUGUAUUUUUAGAACUUUUGGAAUUUUGUUUUUCUAUUUUUAAUUCUCCUCUAAUUGAUAAAUGCGAUUAAUUGUGUUUUAUUAAAUUGGAGCAUGUAUUAUUAAUUUGUAAGGCCAUAAAUUUUUUAAAUUAAAAAUAUAGAGAUAGAAUUUCAAAAGUCGAGAGAGAGUAUAAUCCAUCUCGACUCAAAUAGUUAAAUUCAAUUACUAAUCAUAUACUGUACGGUUAUAGAUUUAGUCUAUAUUUACUAAUUGAAUUAUUCUAAGUCGCCGUUAUUUUCAAAUUUCAAAACUUCAUUAUCGAGGCAAAGGGCAAUCGUUAAUUCAUUAAUUAAAUUUUUACUGAGAAAUAUGUGAAAAUAACAAAUUAACAUUAUAUUACACUUAUGAUAAUAUGCUUACCACGUCAAAUUUUAGAGAUAGCAGAACUUAACUUAAUGAAUUUAGCAGUUAUUAUUUGGUGAUAAAUAAUUUUUUAAAAUUUGUAAAGUAUAGAGACCACAUUCAAAAAUUUCAGAAAGUAAAGGGACUAAAGCAAAAAUUCAACCUAAAACUCCAUGCAUGGUAUAAUAGGUGAAAUGAAAAAAUUGAAAAAUACAGAAAAAUACAACAAAAAUAACAUAAUAAUAAAACUUAGAUAUAUAGAAAUGGAAAAGUGGGUGGCUUUGGAAAAUGGAAAAGAAAAGAAAAAGUUAGCACUUAGCAUUGGGAAAAGAUAGCAAAAGAUGAGAUGAGAUUGGAAUCGGAAUGACCUCAUCCUCACAUUUUCUCUUUUUUAUUGCCAAAAAAAUUCUAAUUAUUAUUGAUAUAUUGUUUAAAAUAAUAUUUAUUUCAAAAUAUUUUGUAAAAAUUAACAAUAAAUUAAUUUAGUUUUAGCUUAAUUAGUAUUGUCAUUAUUGUUAGUGUAAGAUAGCAUAAGUUUUAGCGAGUAGGAAUGUAUUUAUCCUUUAGGGUUGUAGAGGGGCUAAGGUUAAUUCUGAGCAUUGUAUAAAAAAAAAAGGUCGAUGAAACUGUUUUCAAAUUGAAUUUAAACACUAAAUAGUAAAAAGAGCUCUAGUUUUAAUGGAGAGUAUGAAGGUUAAAAUAUGCCAAAAGUUUUUGUACUUUUCAAAUAUUUGGAAUUUAGUCCUUGCAGUUUUAUUUACAAUAAUUUAGUUCCUCUAUUUUUGUAGAUUUUAAAAUUCAAGUUCAAUUGUUAACAUAUUUUUUUGUUAAAGUUGUUGGUGUUAAUGGGUGAAAUUAAUAAGGAGGAGAUAAAUGUUGUUGUGGUGGUUUACUCUCGAUCAGGUGAUUAGCCACUGGAUGUUGGUGAAAUUGUCUUGGGAGAUUGGUGUUGAUACGAGAAGAACGAUUGGAAAGAAAAUGUGAUUUUUGUGUCUAAGUCUGCUCUCAAAUGUUACAGUAAGCUUAUACAUGAGAAACAAAGAUGCUUACAUCUCCUGAGCUCAUUGACAGUGGAGUUAUAUUUUGUUUUUCUGUAGUAGUAGUAACGUGACGUCCUAGGGUAUAACUUAUUAGGAUAACUGGGCAAUUAAUAAGUCUGAAACCUCACGUGCAUCCCAUGUGUACUUAGAGAGGGUGAUCUUGCGAAGGUUUGCCAACCUAUUGUGGUAUGAGGUUCACGAGGUUCGUUUGGUUGGAGGUUUGUCCGAUAUAGACAGUUAGUUUGUAACUUGACUGAUGAUACAACGUGGAGGAGGUAUAACAUAAAUAAUAAUCUUUUUUCAAGUUGAUGUUAUAAUUAAAAACAUUUUUUAAAAAAUAGACAACAAUCAUAUUCGCAAUCUAUAUAACUAUAUAUAUAAAAGGAAGGUUAUCAUAUUGACACGUGUGCAGGUUUUCUUUUGUAUUUUUAUAAAAUGGUUAAAUUUUAAUUUUGAUUCCUCUAUCAUAGAUUUAAUCUUUAUACUUCAAUCUAUAUAACUGUAUAUAAUUGUACUGUCCAAAUAUUCAAUCUCUCGAUACCUGUCCAAAAAACAAUUUUUUUUUUAAAUAUUAAAACAACGAUAUAAUUUCAAUUUUAGUCCUUAGAAUAUGCUACCAUGGCACACACCCGCCAUGCUUCUUUUCUUAUUUUAGUUUCCUAAAAGUGAUUAAUUUUUAGUUUUAGUCUUCCUAAUAUGUUUAAAUUUGAUAUUUAAUCUUUGUAUUGUAAUUUCCAACAUAAAUUGACCUCUAUAUUUUUAUAAUGUUGCUUAUUAAUUCAAAUAGUUAAUAUAAUUAACUUCUCAGUUAAAAUGUUACGUGGUUAUAUAUAAUUUGAAAGUGAGUUUUUAAAUCCGAAAAGUACAUGAAUUAAAUUCUUGAAAAUAAAAAGUAAAAGGACUAAAUUCCAUACGUACGAAGUAUAGAGACUUAGAGUUGUUGGUUAUUUGCCGGUCAAAUUGGAAACCGAUUGUGGUAUUGAUAUGAAGAGAGACACCAGGCUAGUUGAUCCUCAAACUAGAACAGAUCGAUUGAAUCGAGUUAAAAAAUUGAUUGAACUGCUUUUUUAAAUUUUUUUAAUGAUUUUUUUAAUCCAACUGUACGAACCAAUAGCCUGACUAGUUCGACCACUAAUCUAAUUCUAAAAACUUGGGUUAGAAUAUAUUUUACUCUAUAAUUUGAUACAAAUAUUUAAUCAACCCAAUGCUUAGUGUGAAUUAAUUUAAUAUAAAAUUAAAAAUUGAAUUAAUUAUAUAAAUUUAUUACUUAAAUGAGUCCAGUCUAGAAAUAAUUAUAAUUGAGCCUAAAACAUAGGGAUUGAUUUAUGGGCUUAUGGAGGCUUGAGAGAAAAUAGGCAAAAUAUUGAAAAGCCCAUGUGUGCACAAAAUGAAAUGUUGGCAAAAAGAGUUGAGCCCAAAGGCUGAGAAAGUCGCAUUUUGGCUUCCAAGUGUGCAUUUAAUGGUAAUUUUUUGCCACGUCAGAUUAUAAUCUAAUCGGAAGAUAACGGUUCAGUGACCAAAACAUAAUAAAUCAAUAACGUUAAUGAUCAUGCCGUAUUUUAUUUUAAAAGUUUGAUGAUCAAUACGUAAUUUAAAUCAUACAUAAGUAACUAAACUUGUAGUUUACCUUUAAAAAUAUAAGAUCCUUUUUAUAAAUAUUUUAAUUUUAAUUUUUAUGUAUUUUAAAAAUAUUUCAUUUUUAAUUUUUAGAAUUUAGAUUAAAUUGAAAAAAUGUGUAAAUAUUGAAGGUUAAAUUUAUUAAAUUUUUUAAAAAAUUAAGACUAAAUUAACAAAAAAGCGUAAACAUUGAGUAUUACAUUUGUUAUUAUACUAGACCACGUUAGCAUUCCGUAUGACUAAAAUGAGAAAAUAACUUAACGAGAAUGACUAAAUUAACAAAAAAAAUGACAACCAAAACAGUAACGCGCAAAAACUUAAGUGCAAGCCAAAAACUGUUGGAUCUAUUUUGUUAUCGUCCCUAAUUAAAUUUAAAUCGAAUCUACUGAAUCGAACAAGUAACUUGACUUCUCCAUAAACCUAAUCCCAACAUGUUAAAUUUUUAUUCAAUGAUUUUUAAGAAUUAAUAUCGACAUUUUAAGUAUUAAAGAAGAAAAUUAUUUUUUAUUAAAUAAUAUUUUUUUUUCAAAUAAAAACUAAAAUAAAUACCAAUUUGACAUAUAAAACAUUAGCCCCUCAACACAACUUGUAUGAAUUGAAAGAGAGCGACAUCACGAUGCAAAGGCUAGCAAGUUGAGUAAAUGUUGUUUUAGAUACUUGUGAUUGAGAAAUGUGAAAGGGAAUAAUUUUUACAUGUAUAUAUAUAAACAAAAAUAUUAGGCCCGACAUAUGGAUUUUACAAAAAUGUUAAAAUUAAUAUGUCAUAGGUUGAUAUGUCUUUCAUAAACUUAAAGUUUAGUCCCUAUACUUUUAUUUUUAGAAAUUUAGUCCCUUUACUUUUUAGAUUUCAAAAUUAAUGUCUAUUGGUGUGGCAUUUUGAAAUUUAAAGCAAACUCGCUUUGUAAUAAUGUAACUAAAAAAAUGACAUUGUAAUGAACAUGAAUUUAAUAAAAUAAUUUUUAUAGUAUUAACAGUUGGACUUGAAUUUCGAAAUUUGAAAAAUAGAGGGACUAUGUUUCAAAUUUGUGAAGAGUACAUGAACUUAAUUGGUCCAACUUGAGCUCCAUUAAUCAAAACCUAAGCAUGGUACGACCUAACCCGUUUUUCAAUUUUGUAAUAUUUUAAUUUUAGUUUUGAAAAUGAAUAUAUAAUACUUUAAUGUAAGUAUUAAAAUAUGUGUUAAGUUUAAAAAAAAUAACAAAAGAAAAAAGAAAAAAUAUUAAAUAAAAAUAACAUAUAUUAAAAAAUAAUAUGGUAGAAACUAAACAUGUUCGAGUUAACAAUUUAUAGAUAUGAACAAAUUUAGAUAAAAUAUAAUAUUCAUAUUUCAGCAAAGCCGGGGUCAAGGGGGGCUGGAAGGAGCCUCGACCUCUCCUAAAAUGGAAAAUUUUAACUUUAGUCCUUUUAUAAUUUUAAAAAAUUUAAAAUAAUAUAAGGUAAAAUUACACUUUGGCCCCUCAAGAAUGAGAAAAAAUUGAUUUAAUCAUUUAAAAAUUAUAAAGAUAGAGACUAUUAAAAUGAUGAAAUUUCACUUUUGCUAUCAUUAAAAUAUACAACUUUAUUCCGGCCCCCUUUUAAAAAAAUUUCUGGCUCCGCCCCUAUAUUUCAAGUCAAUUUUUUUAAACAUAAAUCUCAUUAUAAAUUAUUGUCAUAUAUGUUCUUUUUUAUAUAAUACUUAAAAACUACCCAUAGCUCCUCCCCAACCUUUGAAUAGGAGAAUAAUGCUCUUCAACGCAUUCGACUCAACUUUCUCCUACACUAGCAACAAUACCGAUACCAAUUGAAUUAAGACUCAAUCGAUAUAUUUCAGAUCAAAUUUAAAUAUGUUGAUGUCGUACAUGAAUCUCGAAUGUGCCAUGAAUACUUUUAGUUGUAAGGUAUAAUUAAAAAAAGAGUAGUGCUUAGUACAUUUUUAGGCCAAGGGUAAGGGACCACGGUAUUAAAGGAGUUCAGUAUCUCCAUGAAAAGAUGUUGUACACAGAAUUAAAAGUAUAAGUUUUAAUUUUAGUGAAAUAUUCCAUAAUUUGACUGAACCACAAUUAGGAUGAAGUAAAAUCUUGGGUAAAAUGUAAUUUUAUCAGUAUUAAUUUAUAAUUGCAUGAUUAUUGAAGGUAUUAUAUUGAAAUUUAACCAUUGAGAAGGGGGCAAAGCUCUUGCUAGCCAUUUAGCAACAAUGGUCUAAACAAGGAACUGGUGUUCGUAACCUAUUCGAAUUCAAUUCGAGAAAAACUUGAAUUCAAUAAGGCAAUUGCCAAGCUAAGCUUGAGCUAUUGGUCAAGCCAAAAUCGAGCACUAUAAUACUCAAUUUGAAUGGCUUGUGAGCUUAAUCGAGUUUUUUUUUUUGUUUUAAUAUACUUUAUAUUAUGAAAUUUCAUUUUCACCUUUAUUAUAUAGAAAGAACUUAAAUAUGAACGAACUUGAGCUAGAAUAAAAAUGAGCUUAUCGAAUUUGAAUUCGAGCUUAAGUACAAAAUUAAUAAAUAAACUUAAUCGAGCUCGAGAAGCUUUACUAAGUCUUGAGCCAAGCUUGAGCUUUGAAAUCAAUGUUCAAUUGAACUCGAGUAGAGUAUCAAACCUUUAAUUUCAAGUUGAGCUCGACCUUGGUACUAUUCAACUUCAACUUAGCUCUACACCAUUUCUACUUGGGGUCUACGUGAUUAAAAUCUCAAGCUUGGUCAUUUGACAACCCUUACUCUUAUUUAAAGAAGACAUAAUGACUUAUUUUGCUUUUAAACUUUACAAUAAAAAAUUAUUUUAGCCCUCCAUUUAAUUUUUUUUAUCUCUUUUAGCUUUUAAACUUAACGUUAUUUGUCAAAUCACUCAAAAAUAGAUAGAAAAAUUAACCUCUAUUAACUUUGCUGGUGUUGUUGAAAAGACAAAUUAAAAGGGGUGUUGAAAAGUCAAAAAAAUAGGAGGUGCAAGUGGCACCGAAAGAAAAAAAUGGUAGGCAAGUUGUUUAAAGUUGAAUGGGAUAAUUGCAAUUUUGGUCCCUAAUUUUUAGGCCAUUUGUAAGUUAGUCCCUGAACCUCAACUAUAAAUAGGCCUAACCAUUUCUCAUUUACACCAUCCCAACCAAUCUUUCUCUCUUCUCCCAUUUGAGAAUUCUUAAGGAAUUCUAUUUGUUUGUAAUAUUUUGGAAAUAGUAAAGUUAUCAUCUGGUGUUAGUGCCCGAGGACGUAGGUAUAAUUUACCGAACCUCGUUAAAACUCUUAUCUUCUUUUUGUCCUAUUUUUCUUUCAAUAUUUGAGGGUAUAAUAGUAGUAUUUAAUUGUGCUAUUAAAUUACGUUAGAAGGAAUAUUCUGACUAAGGAAAGACUUGGUAUUUAAGAGAUCCUUGUGAUCCACCUCUCUUCCCUGGGAAUUGAACUUUGUGUGAUUUUUUAGUACAAUAAUUUACACGCUUCCGACCCUAUUGGAACAACAAGUGGUAUCAAGAGCCGAAGGUUAAUCGUAGUAUGCUCUGUGGUUGCAGUUUAAACUGAUCUUCCACAUCAGAAAAGAUUUCCUUAGGUAUAUUGAAAGAUUAUGGAGAAAAUGGUCGGAGUAGGAGCUUCAACAUCGUCCAUGUGGACAAGACCGACAAUUGCAAAUGCAAGAUUGGCCGUGGAGAUCUUUGAUGGCGCGGGCCAUUUUGGUAUGUGGCAAAGUGAGGUUCUAGAUGCCCUUUUUCAGCAGGGUCUAGACAUUGCCAUUGAUGAAGAGAAACCAGAUGAUGUACAGGAGAAAGAUUGGAAGGCGAUCAAUCGGUUGGCAUGUGGCACAAUUCGAUCAUGCCUUUCUCGAGAGCAGAGGUAUGCUUUUUCAAAGGAGACUUCUGCAAAUAAGUUGUGGGUGGCACUUGAAGAAAUUUUUUUGAAGAAAAACAGUCAAAAUAAGCUCCACUUGAAAAAAAGACUGUUUCGCUUCACAUACGUCCCAAGUACCACAAUGAAUGAUCACAUCACCAAAUUUAAUCAGUUAGUCACUGAUUUGCUGAAUAUGGAUGAGACAUUCAAAGAUGAAGAUUUGGCUUUGAUGCUGUUGGGGUCACUUCCUGAGGAGUUUGAGUUCCUAGAAACUACUCUACUUCAUGGCAGGAGUGAUAUAUCUCUGAGGCGAAGUCUGUGCGGCCUUAUACAGUUAUGAACAGAGAAAGAAGGACAAACAGAAAAACUCAAUCAGAGAUACAGAAGCUUUAGUAGUCCGAGGUCGUUCAUACACUCGGAAGAAAACUCAAAAGGGGAGAUCAAAGUCAAAGUCCAGACUCGGGAAAGAUGAAUGUGCUUUUUGUCAUGAGAAAGGCCACUGGAAGAAAAAUUGUCCAAAGCUGAAGAAUAAGGGAAAAGCUGCUGUAGAUGCUUGUGUUGCUAAGCAUGAUACUAGUGACUCUGAACUAUCACUGGUUGCAUCAUCAUCGUCGUUCCAUUCAGAUGAGUGGAUAUUGGAUUCGGGUUGUACCUAUCAUAUGUCCCCUAACCGGGAGUGGUUCUCUGAUUUAGUAGAACUAAAUGGAAGAGUUGUUUAUAUGGGCAAUGACAAUGCCUGUAAAACUGUUGGGAUAGGUUCAAUCCAAUUAAAGAAUCAAGAUGGAUCAACCAGAGUUCUGACUGAUGUUCGGUACGUGCCCAGUUUGAAGAAAAAUCUCAUCUCAUUGGGAGCCUUGGAAUCCAAUGGUUCAGUUGUUACUAUGAGAGAUGGGAUUUUGAAAGUGACAUCUGGCGCACUUGUGAUAUUGAAGGGCAUUAGGAAAAAUAACUUGUAUUACUACCAAGGUAGUACAGUUAUUGGAGCAGUCACUACAGCUUCCGGUAACAAAGAAUUGGACUCAAUGCAGUUGUGGCAUAUGAAGUUGGGACAUGCCAGCGAAAAAUCCUUGCAAAUUCUGGCAAAGCAAGGAUUGUUGAAAGGUGCAAAGGCUUACAAAUUAAAAUUUUGCGAGCAUUGUGUUCUGGGAAAGCAAAAGAGAGUGAAAUUCAGUACUGCUAUCCAUAAUACAAAAGGUAUUUUGGAAUAUGUUCACUCAGAUGUGUGGGGGCCUUCCAAGACACCUUCAUUGGGAGGAAAACACUACUUUGUUACUUUUGUUGAUGACUUUUCCAGAAGAGUUUGGGUGUAUACCAUGAGAACUAAGGAUGAAGUGCUUAGAGUUUUUCUUAAAUGGAAAACUAUGAUCGAAAACCAGACUGGCAAGAAAAUCAAGCGGCUUAGGACGGACAAUGGAGGGGAAUAUAAAAGUGAUCCGUUCUUCGAUGUGUGCCAAGAGUAUGGUAUUGUUCGACACUUCACAGUUAGGGAUACACCACAGCAGAAUGGAUUGGCAGAGCGUAUGAAUCGAACAUUACUGGAGAAAGUUCGAUGUAUGUUGUCCAAUGCUGGGUUGGGCAAGCAAUUUUGGGCUGAGGCUGUGACAUACGCUGGCCAUCUUGUUAAUCGUUUGCCAUCAUCUGCAUUAGAAAGAAAAACUCCUAUGGAGGUAUGGUCUGGAAAACCGGCUACAGAUUAUGAUUCCUUACAUGUGUUUGGAUCCACUGCAUAUUACCAUGUGAAGGAGUCAAAGUUAGAUCCGAGGGCAAAGAAAGCUCUCUUUAUGGGAAUCACUUCUAGAGUGAAGGGAUUUCGUCUUUGGUGCUUAAGCACAAAAAAAUAAUCUGUAGCAGAGAUGCUACCUUUGAUGAAUCUGCCACAUUGAAAAAAGUAGCAGAUAAAGAUAUUCAGACGAGCAAUACUCCACAGCAGGUGAAGUGUACUCCAAAACAGGUGGAGUUUGAGCAGAUGGGGAUUUGCCCAGUUAAUAAGUCUAAUUCUCCAGCCACAAUGGAGGAAUUAGAGGUUGAAGAGGUUCUGACCCAAGAACCACUAAGUACACCAGAACCAGUUGCAGUUGCAAAGCCACGGAGAGAAAUUCGUAAACCUGCUCGAUUUACUGAUAUGGUGGCCUACGCCCUUCCCGUUGUUGAUGAUAUUCCUAUCACUUAUCAAGAAGCAAUGCAAAGCUUAGAAAGUGAUAAAUAGAAAAGCGCCAUGGAUGAAGAAAUGUAGUCUCUCCGGAAGAACAAUACUUGGGAGUUGGCGUAAUUACCGAAAGGUAAAAGGGCAAUCGGAUACAAGUGGGUAUUCGCAAAGAAAGAUGGAUCUCCUAGCAAGAAGGAUAUUCGCUACAAGGCAAGAUUGGUAGCUAAAGGCUACGCUCAGAAGGAGGGAAUUGACUACAAUGAUGUAUUUUCCCCUGUUGUGAAGCAUUCCUCCAUUAGAAUUUUGUUGGCCUUGGUAGCACAGUUGAAUUUGGAGCUAGCUCAACUUGAUGUUAAGACGGCUUUCUUGCAUUGUGAGUUAGAAGAGGAGAUCUAUAUGACUCAGCCAGAAGGAUACACAGAUGCUGGUGGUAGAAAUUGGGUUUGUAAGCUUAACAAAUCGCUAUAUGGAUUGAAGCAAUCCCUGAGGCAGUGGUACAAUCGAUUUGAUAGCUUUAUGAGAAGGCAGAAGUACACAAGAAGCAAAUAUGACAAUUGUGUAUAUUUACAGAAGCUGCAUGACGGAUCUUUCAUUUAUCUACUCUUGUAUGUUGAUGAUAUGUUAAUCGCUUCGAAGAGCCAAAAUGAGAUAGAUAAGCUGAAGGCUCAGUUGAAUCAAGAGUUCGAGAUGGAAAAUCUAGCUGAGGCCAAGAAGAUUCUCGGCAUGGAGAUAAGUAGAGAUAGACCGAGAGGCAAGCUCUGUUUAAAUCAGAAGCAAUAUCUGAAAAAGGUAUUACAAUGUUUUGGUGUAAAUGAAAACACAAAACAUGUAAGUACCCCACUUGCUUCUCAUUUGAAACUUAGUGCUCAAUUAUCUCCGAAGACUGAAGAUGAAAGAGAAUAUAUGGCGAAAGUCCCAUUUGCUAAUGCAGUUGGGAGUUUGAUGUAUGCGAUGGUGUGUACGAGGCCUGACAUUUGACAAGCUGUUGGAGUUGUGAGCAGGUAUAUGCAUGAUCCUGGAAAAGGACAUUGGCAAGCUGUGAAAUGGAUUCUACGGUAUCUUCGAAAAACUGUAGAUGUUGGUUUAAUUUUUGAACAGGAUGAAGCACUUGGUCAGUUUGUAGUUGGAUAUGUUGAUUCCGACUUUGCUGGUGAUUUAGAUAAACGUCGUUCAACUACGGGGUAUCUGUUUACUCUUGCGAAAGCCCCAGUGAGUUGGAAGUCUACCUUACAGUCUACAGUAGCUGUGUCUACUACAGAGGCAGAAUAUAUGGCAAUUACAGAAGCUGUUAAGGAGGCUAUUUGGCUUAAUGGAUUGUUGAAAGACUUAGGAGUUGUUCAAAGUCACAUAAGUUUAUAUUGUGACAGUCAGAGCGCUAUUCAUUUAGCGAAAAAUCAAGUCUAUCAUUCAAGAACCAAGCAUAUCGACGUAAGAUAUCACUUUGUGCGGGAAGUCUUUGAAAAAGAAAAAAUUAUACUUCAGAAGAUUCCGACAGCAGAUAAUCCCGCAGAUAUGAUGACCAAGGUGGUAACAACAAUCAAGUUUAAUCAUUGUUUGAACUUGAUUAACAUCCUGAGAAUUUGAGCACCUUUAGGUGUAUGGCGCUCGAGAGCGUAUUUGGAGGCACUACAAAAGAUAGCUUUAUCGAAUUUGGGGAGUUGAAGGAAGUAUGUGAAGAUGUGAUUAUCCUAAUCAAAUCUUCAAGGUGGAGAUUGUUGAAAAGACAAAUUAAAAGGGGUGUUGAAAAGUCAAAAAAAUGGGAGGUGCAAGUGGCACCGAAAGAAAAAAAAUGGUAGGCAAGUUGUUUAAAGUUGAAUGGGAUAAUUGCAAUUUUGGUCCCUAAUUUUUAGGCCAUUUGCAAGUUAGUCCCUGAACCUCAACUAUAAAUAGGCCUAACCAUUUCUCAUUUACACCAUCCCAACCAAUCUUUGUCUCUUAGUUUUCUCUCUUCUCCCAUUUGAGAAUUCUUAAGGAAUUCUAUUUGUUUGUAAUAUUUUGGAGAUAGUAAAGUUAUCAUCUGGUGUUAGUGCCCGAGGACGUAGGUAUAAUUUAUCGAACCUCGUUAAAACUCUUAUGUUCUUUUUGUCCUAUUUUUCUUUCAAUAUUUGAGGGUAUAAUAGUAGUAUUUAAUUGUGCUAUUAAAUUACGUUAGAAGGAAUAUUCUGACUAAGGAAAGACUUGGUAUUUAAGAGAUCCUUGUGAUCCACCUCUCUUCCCUGGGAAUUGAACUUUGUGUGAUUUUUUAGUACAAUAAUUUACACGCUUCCGACCCUAUUGGAACAACAGGUGUGACAUACAAGUGGAUUUACAUGUCAGCAAUUAAUCUUUUAAAAUAAAAAAAAAAUAAUUUUUAUACAUUUUAUAAUUUUAAUUGUUGAUGUGGCAAUCCGCACUUAUACUACGUUAACAAACUAAUAGAUGCUAAUUUUUACAUUAAUUUUAUGAUGAUUUGACAAACUAAUAAAUGUCUAAAAUUACUCAUAGUCUCUUCCCAACCAUUUAAUAGUAGGAUAAAUAUAUCUUAACGCGUUCGAACCCACGUCCUCUUACAUAAAUAACAAUGUCAAUACCAACUAAGUUAAGACUCGGUCACAAACAACAUAAAUUUUAAGAUUGAAAGAGAAGAAAAAAUUAAAUGAAUGAUGAAAAUAUCUAUUUAUUAUUUAUAAAGUUGUAGGGCAAUCAUGGCAUGAAGUCUCGCUGAUGUCUUGACUGAGGAAGACUUUGUCAUUGGGUACACAAGUAAAAACAUAAAAUGUGUCAAAUCUAAAAAUGGAAAGGGAAUGACAGUGUUUUCUACGAUUACGUAAACCUUUAGUAAUUUUCACAUAUUUUUUCCACACAUAUAUUAUAAUUUUUAAGUCAAUGAAGUCCUACCUUUUGUCUCACCUUGAAAGUGAAAUUUCUUUGAUUGGAAUAGGUAGGGCAUGCCGUCAUAAAAGAGGCAUGGGAUCCCAAGGGGGCUUUUCUUUUUGUGUUUGUAUCUUUGUUUUUGGAGAAUAUAUUAGGACAAGUGGAUGAUGUGGUUUUGAACUUUGCCACGAUACAGCUCUUCAUAGAUCAGGUUAAGUCGAGUUGAUUUACGGUAUUUUUAAAAUUUGGUACGUUUAGAUAGAGGUGAAUAAAACUCGAUUCGAUUAGAAAAAAUAGAAAAAAAUUAAAUUUCGAGUUAUUUGAGUCAAUUUGAAUAAGUAAUUCAAGUUUUGAGUUUGAAUCAAGUUGGAUUUUCUAAUUUGAGCAACUCAAAUAAUUCGAAUAGCAGAUUGGUGUAAAUACCCCUUUGGUCCUUGUCAAUUUUAAAAAUAAACAAAUUGGUCACUCUCUCAACAAAAAUUACAAAAGAAAUUCAAAAUUCAAAAUAUUUAUAAAAAUUCCAAAACUUUCUAAAGAAUAUAUAAAGGAAGUUAAAAUUUUGAAAAUUUUCUAAAAAAAAUAAUUUUGAGGUCUAAAUAAGUUAAUUAAUGGUUCAAGUUUAUCAUAUUAAAGUAUUUUUUUUAAAAUUUUCAAAUACAUGUGUUCAAUAUGGAAUUAUUUAUAAUGUAACAAGAUUUUAAUCUGACAUGUUUAAUUUUUUAAUUUAACUCGAUUCGAUUAAAAAAAUUCGAAUCGAGUUAGGAUGAAAAAUAGAACUAGUCAAUUCAAAAGUUUUUCACUCAAUUCGACUCGAUUCAAUCGAAUGCUCAACUGCUACGCUUAGAAACCUAUAUUAUUGUUUACUAGAAAUAAAAUAUUAAAAAAAGACAAUUUAAUUUAAAAUCUAGCCGAGCGAGUCACUCAGCCAUAGACAAGUUUACUCUGGACUUGUUAACUAGGGUCACAUUGGUAUUUUUAUUUCUUUGAGAGUUUCUUAGUGCCGGAACUUGAAUUUAGUAAAAGUGUUAAAAAUUGGUUUUUGUACAUUAGAAUGAAGUACAUAUGACAUGCCACGUAUAAUUAUUUAGUUAUUAACGGCAAUAGUAGUUGAAAUUUUACCUUAUUUGCAAUAAUUUCAAACACAUGAGAAUAACUUAAUUUAUAAUAUAAAUUUUCAUGAAAAAAAGAGGUUAUGUACCAAUAAAGACCUAUUUCUAAAAUUAUUUACGAAAAUGAGCCAUUUCUAAAAACAAUUACGAGUAUGGAUCAAAAACUCAAAAACGCGUUGAUGUGGAUGCGUUUUCAAGUGAAAUGAGACUUUGGGUCUAUAUAAAGAUAUGCUUUAUAAGUUUUAUUUCCACAUUAAUUGGUGGCACAAAAAAAAAUGGUAUUGCCACUUCCUUAUUAAAGUUUAUUCUUGUAAAUUUUUAAAAAAACUAACCUAUUUUUGUAAUAUUUAAAUUUUUUUUUUAAAUUUAGCCUGAACAUGAGUAAAAACAUGUCUAUAUCAGUCCGCUUUUACCUAACUCAAGAAAAAAGCGCUAAUGUUGAAGCGUUUUUCUCACUAAUCCCAAAAAGAAAACAUAAAUAAUUGACUAUUUCUGUAAACUAUUUAAAAAAUGGGAAUUUACAUAACCCGAAAAAAAACAUAAAUGACAGAAAAACAUAAAUUUAUUACUAUUUAUUUAACAUUAUCAAUUAUUACUAUUUAUAUAAAGACAGAUACAAUAACAGCUCUUUCCUUACAAAUCUGUACCAAGAACUCAGUUCUGUCUCAACUUUUGUGCCUUUAUAUAAUUGCCUCCUUGCAGGGGCAGAUGAUUCUUUUUUUCUUUUAAAUUCACCUUUUUUAUGUUGUGGUAGUUUUACAACUAAUAUAAUAUAAUAAAAAUAUGUUCUAAUUUUGUAAUUUCUUUAUAUUUGAAAUUUUAAAAUAGGAAAAGUAUAAGGAUUAAAAUCUUAGAGAUAAAGAUAAAUUAACUAAAUUUCAUAUUUUAAUUUAGGGGUGAGCAAAAUUCGAUUUAAUUCGAAAAAAUAAAAAAAUUAAAUUUCGAGUUAAUUGAAUCGAGUUAUUCGAAUUAUUUGAGUAAAUUCAAAUAAGUAAUUUGAGUUUCGAGUUUGAAUUGAGUUGAGUUGAAUUUUACAAUUCGAAUAAUUCGAAUAAUAGAUUGAUAUAAAUACUCUUUUAGUCCCUAUCAAGUUUAAAAAUGAGCAGAUUGGCCUCUCUAAAAAAAUUAAAAAAUUCAAAAUAAUUUUUAAAAAUAAAAAUAUUUAUAAAAUUCUAAAAAUUAUAAAAAAUUCAAAAAAAAGUUCAAAAUAACAUAUAAAAAAUUUAAAAAAUUAAAAAAUUUAUAGAAUAAUAAUUUUGGGAUCUAAAUAAGUUAAUUAAUGACUCAAGUUUAUCAUACUAAAGUAUUUUUUUUAUUUCGCUUUGAAUAAGCUUUCAAAUAUAUAUGGUUUCAAAUUUAUAUGCUUCAACAUGAAAUUAGUUAUACUAUAACAAGAUUUUAAUUUGACAUGUUUAAUUUUUUAAUUUAACUCAAACAAUUUCACUCAAUUAAGCUCGACUCGAAUUUCAUUUCAGCCGACUCGAUUCGAAAAAAAUUAAUUUAAUUUAGGAUGAUAAAAUAGGAACCGUUAACUCAAUUUUGGUGGAUUGGAUCUGACCUUGAGCUUGAAAAAAAAUCGAAUCAGACUUAAAUUCAACUAGACCCAUGAACACUUCUAAAAUGUAAUAAAUAUAUUUAAAUUUAUUUAAAUUAAAUUAUAUAUAAACACAAAAUAUUUUAACUAUAAUUAUGAGAUUAUAUACAUUAGAUUUAUUGGCUGGUCUAUUUAUUAAUUUUGAAAAAAAUUAGGAGGGAGUUAAUUCAUACCAAAACCUUAUUAAUGAGAAAGAAAACUAUAGCCAAACUUAUCCUUAAAUUGUUUAUUAAGUUUAAGCUUUAAGGAGUUGGUGGCUAAAGCAAAAUAUUUUAUUCUAAUUAAAAAAAAAAUCUACAUUAUUGGUAAUGGCUGAAGCUAUCGGUUAUUGGGUAUUUAGAUUGUAAUUUUACUAUGCAUAAUUAUGCUACGUGGGUUUUUAAUCUCUUCAUGUGCAGUUAUCGUUGAUUUUGUUUAGUUAUAUUUUGAUUCUAUACUUUCUAUUGGUUCGAUUCUACAUUUUAGUUGCUCAUACAUGUGUUUAUAGUUGUAUUAUAUUUAUAUUCGUAAAUUCUAAAAAAAUAGAAAAAAUCAACUGAUUGUGAAAAUGACAAAAGAUUUGUAUUUAAGUUUUCAGUUAACGUCGGAUUAUAAGUUCAAUCCUUAAACAACUCCUCCCCUCUACCACGUAUAAAAGAAAAAAAAAUGUAUUUUUUUUUGUAAUUUUAGUGAAAAAUUGUUUACUUUUUGUUUGAUAAAAAAAUUAUUUCUACGAAACAAUAAUUUCACAUUAAUCCGAGUAACUGAAAAAAAAAUACUUGAAUCUAAAAUAAUUUAAUGAUGAAAUUAAAUGCUUUUAAGGAUUUGGGUCAGCUUGAAUUAAAAUUUUAAUAGUAAAAUUAAUAUUUUUAAUUUUAUAAAUAUAAAAAUAUUUGUUAAGAAAUAUGUUUAUAUUUAUUAUUAUCUUUUGAUAUUUUUUAUGUAUGUUUUACGAUCUAUGUUCGGAAUUUGUAGUUACCCCUAUUAAUAAUAUCGUCUCCAAGAAGUUUGGAUGGACUCAACCCUAGCCUAAAUCGACUUGUGUAAAGGUUUUGUUGCAUUUAAAUUUUAACUCAAUGCCUCUAGCUAAAAUAACCAAAUUUAGAUACUUUGAAAUACUAAUAUGAAGAAUAUUCAACAUAACUAAAACAUAAUUUUUUUUAAAUAUAAUACAAAUGAACAAUCUAUUUAUUAGAGAUUGUGUGACUUAAAUCCCAACACUUAUUGAAGAAAUAAAUACAAUGACAAAAUAAGAGGAUCCGUGGGGACGAAAGGAUAAGACCAUACCGUAUAAAUUGAGUUCAUACAAAACUGUACUUCUUCUAUUUGACUUUGAUUAGAAUAGGGUUUUUCAACCCUUAAAUAGAUGUAAUCAAAACUCUUAUUGCAUAAUUCGUUUUUCAACAUUAGUGGAUUUCUCCUCCUCCACGUAAAAUUUGUUUGUUCUUAUUUUUAUUUUCUUAUUACUUUGUAAUCGUUCUACCGCCAUUAUCAACGUUUAUUAUAACACUAUUAAUAUUGAGUAAUUUGUAAUUAUGUUUAAGUUGUUUAUAUUAGUAUAAACCUAUUAUUAUUAGUAUUGACUAGAAAAAGAUUGAAAAAUAAUUUUGUUCUAUUAUCAUGACUAAGUUCAAUCUUUUCAACCAUACAUCAUAAAAUAAAACAAAUUUAUUUUUAAAAAUUUUAAAAUAAGAAAAUAAAAAUAAACUGUAUGCUAUAAGGCAAUGAAAAUGAAACUUUAAAAUUAUAAAUGACAAAAUUUGAUUUUAUUUAAAAUAUAAUUUAAUUUAAAUUUAUAAUCUCAAAUUUCAACAAAAUCCAAUUUUAAAUUGAUAUAUAAUUGUAUACAAAAUUAUAAAUAAAGUAUAAAAUUAAUUUAUAAAUAUUUUUUUGUGGGUGUUCAACUUUUCUGACGAAAAACAGUGAUUCACCAAACAAUUUUUUUAUGGAUAUAAAUAUGUCUUGUCAUUUUCUCUCUUUUUUUUCUUUUUUUUCAUAGUAACUAUGUUAUUGUUAUUGGGUAUUGAACGAUUAAUAAUGAAAAGAUGAUUUUGAGGGCACUCGAUAGAAGAUUGUUGAAUAAAUAAAUGAACGAGUAAAUUGUAUGCUGAUGAUACACGGUAUUAAUAAAGGUCAAGAUAAAGAAGAUAGUCUUUUCGUUUAGAAAAUCCUUCAAAUAAAGUACCCGAGGUUACUUAAAUUAUAAAUAUAUUAAACAUUAUUAUAUAUAUUUUAUUAUAAUUAUAUGACAUGUAAACUUUUGUAUUAGUAACAUAAAACAUCACAUUUCCGUUUAUUAAAAGGUUGCCUAUUGUCAAAUGCAUUCUAAUUUGAAAUUUUGGGUAUAUUCUAUUUUUGGCCGACCAUUUCAUUAAAUUCAUUUGAUUUUGAUUGGAUUUGAGAUGAAAGUUUUUCAAGUAGAAUUAAUCGAUGUAAUGCUCAAAUGAAAUUAUAAAUUUUGCUUUAAAAAGAGGAUAUAAGAUAAUCAUUUAAGGAAUUUAAAUUCUGUUUUAAUUACACAAAUUCAUCAGUUAUUAAUAAAGGUAGACCAGUAAUUUUAUAGACUAUUUAGAAACAAUGGCUUGUAACAAUGAUAAUAAUGUUAAAUUGUUUGAUCAGCCUCCCGGUGGGGUAUUGAACUAGGUUUAGCCUUUUCCCAGUUAUGAUUUUUUUUAUCACGAAAAAAAUAUAAAUACAAUUAUUCCAUUUGUAUAAUUAUAAGUAGAAUUCAAAUUAUUAUAGUGCAUAAUCGAUCAGAUUGAUGAUCACAAUAUAUUCAAAUAAAGCUCAUAUAGGAAUGGUAGUGGGUUAAAUAUUUAUAUUUUUUUGAAUUAUCUAAAUUCGAAUCCGUAAAUCUAUUUGAAUAUCUAAAUUUGUUUAUUGUCUGCAAAAUAUCGGAGUGUUACUAUUCAAAUCCAAAUUUAAAUUAAAUAUUAUAAUUUAAUUUUCAAUGUUUUUUGGAUAUCUAAAUUAAAAAAUAUUGAAUUUGAACCGACUAAUUUUUUAUUUAUAUAUAAAAUCAAAAUUAUAAGGUGGAUUAACAUACCUGAAUCCGGAUCCAUUAUAUGAAUAAACAAUACAAAUUCGAAUGAUGAAUAUUCAAGGUAUUUAUCUCCGUUCGCACUGAAUAUGCAAGAGAUAAUAAUUUUAAAAUCUGAAUUCGAAUAUUAUCCAAAUUCGAAAUAUGAAUUGUCAUCUCUAAGCUCACACAUGGCUGGAUUUGAAACUAGGAUGAACUCUGGAUUGAAAACCCGUAUAUAUGUAAAUACAUAUGGAGAAACAUAAACUUUAGUACUUAAGAUACCAAGACCUCCAUCCUUACCAAUAUGAUCAAGGCCUCUUUGGCUUGAGAUAAAAAAAAAAAUUUAAAUUUUGAUUUAAUGUAAAGUUAUUUUUGUCACUCCGACAAGCCACACAAAAUUGAUUUGUUUUUCUCUAUUUUUUCUAGUGGAAUCAAGGAAUUCUUCAUGUCUAUUUUACAGUCUAUGGAGAUUAAUCCUUGCGAGGUUCAUAACUGUUCCUCUCAACAAUGUUGUCUCCAAAAUUCGAACGCUAGUCCUACUCUUAAGAGUACAAUAUGUCUUAACAUUACACCUAAAAAUAAUUUAAUUAAAAUACAAAAUGUCCUCAAAUUAUAAGUCAAAAUUUAAAUUUAUUCUUAACUUUAAAACAUUUUAAAUAGUUCUAAUUGUUCCAUUUUUUGUUGAUCUAAUCGUUGACUUUAGAAUUAAAUAUCAGCUCGAAUUUAAUCUAGUACAUUUUUUUAGGCACACAUAGAUUAGUAUAUAUUUUAAAACACUAUAUCCAAAAUAACAUUUAAAGCUGAAGUUUAUUUUUAAAUUAGAUAAAAGACUUGAUUGUACAAAUACUUUAGAUUGAGGGUUUAAUUGAAAAUUUUGAAGUUUAUGUACGAAUUUAAAAUUUGGUCCAUAGUUUGGAGAUGUAUAGUUUAAUUAACUCCAAAAUUAUAAACAAUGAAACAUGAAUUGCCAAUAUAACAAUUUGGUUGAAUUUUGUAUCACGAGUUUAAAAAAUAACUAAAAAAACUUAUAAUAAUAAACAAUAUAAAUUUAAUAUUAAUAUUUUUAUACCUAUUCCCACACGCUACUAUCAAGUCACCCCAUCAUAUCCUAAUAAAAGCAUCCAAGCUUCUACAACCAUUUUACAUAUAGUAGGGCAUCGUUCUAGUAGUACUUACGCGACCAUGCCAAAGCUCCUCCUCCUCCUAAAUAAAAUCCCUCUAUGUCACAAGAAGAAAGGGGACUCCAAAAGGCCUACUAAAGCUCUGCAAAAUCUCUCCCAAUAAGAUCCCUAAGCUUAUGAAACCCCAUAAAUCUUCUAAGUCUAAUGGAUAUUUGCAUUUCUUAUGGCGAGACCUCUAUAACAAAUCGCCCUUAAUUUUUGUGUUGUAACGAUUUGUGUUGUUUGUGAGAACUAAGUAAAAGGUAAUUCUCUUCACUAAGUGAAUCCAUGGAAUCUUUUGAAGCUUAUACAAUAUUUAGGUUUCUUGGAGCUUUCAACUUUGAGGGGGCAACAAGUAUGUUUCCUUUAAAUACGUUAAGAGAAAUACUCCAUGCAUUGCAUGGGAAAGGGUUAAUAAGGGGCCACCAAGAAGCUCUUGUCGACAUCUAAUGAGGUUCCUCGCCUGCGCACUAGGGGGAACUUUGCCAUCACUCAAGAAGGCACCUCACCUACAUAUAAAAAUGCCUUUCACUAGCACCUAAGAAGACACCACACCCUCAUACGAAAGGGCUUGAUCGCAUCUAAGGGAGUCCUUCACUUGCAAAUUAAGGGGUUCUUCACUAGCACACCAAGAGGCACCUCACUGUACUCAACGGAACUCCUCACUUACACUAUCAGAAGGCUACUCAAUGAAUACUUUGCCAUUCACUUCACUUAAGGGAGCCCCUCACCCAUACUUUAGGGGGUUGUUCACCAAUACACUAAGGGGCAUCUAACCGCACCUAAAGGAUCUUCUCAUCUACACCAUAAAUGGGUUACCCAAUAAGUACUUUGUUGGCACACCAAGGAAUCCCUCUCAGAUAUAGUUACUAGGUAUAUAUUAUGUAGUUUGAAAAAUAUGGUUAUACGAAGAACAACCAAUGACCAAUGAGUGAUGUCUUAUCCCACUUACGCCAUUGAUUGCCUAGGCGAGAGGUCUUAUCCCACUUAGUAGAAUCAACUAAAGGUCAAUGUGUGAGGUUUUAUCUCCCUUACACCUUUCAAGGCUAAGGUAAAAUGUCUCUUCUCCUUUGUGGAAUUGACUAAGGUGUAAGGUCUCGUCCUCCUUAUGCCCUUACAGAUUAAGGCAAGAGAUCUCAUCCUCCUUAGUUGAAUUAACUGAAUGUUAAGGUGUGAGGUCUUGCUUCAUUGAGGAACUAAGAUGAAAGGUCUCAUCUCCUUACGCCCUUAAAAGCCAAAUGAGAGGUCUUGCCCCUAUUAGUAGAAUCAACUAAAGGCCAAUGUGUGAAGUCUCGUCCCCCUUGAGGAAUUGGAUAAGGUGUGAGGUUUCAUCCCCUUACAGCCUUAAAGACUAAGUAAAUAGAUCUUGCACCCUUUAGUAAAAUCAAUAAAAGAGCAAGGAAAGAGGUUGCCCCUUUGAUGAAAAUGGCUAGAUCAAAAGACCAAGCAUAAGGGUUGAACAAUAUUCAUAACAAAUUUGCCUCUUUAAGUCUAAACAAAUUGUACAAUCACUAUUGCUUGUUUAGGUUAAAAAUACUUGCUCAGGCACAAAUAUGUAUGUUUUUUAAAUUCGUGCAAUGCAUAAAUUCAACAAAAACUAAAAUGCCAACGCACACAUGCAAAAGUAAUAAGCAUAACAAAGUUCCAAACCAAUUUCAUUAUGGAUAAAAACAAAAGCAAUAACAUAGCAAAGUUCAAAAUUGAUUCCACAAAUGGCAGUAAGGCAAUUUUAUUAAUGACUACUAGCGAAGCAACUUUAUAGUAAUAAUAGCAUUUUGAAGGCCCUAUUGUCGUUUUUGACGAAGCUUCUUAAGGCUUCAAUGCCCUAUUGGGUGCAAUCUCUCAAUGCCCUAACUCAUUAAAAAGUGACCACCAAUGAAGAUGAGUGUAGCUUGCUCAAGCUUCAACAAUAAUGUCACAAGAAGAAAAGUAAGAAACCAAUACUUUUAAAUCACGGUGAUAAAAUAAAUUGUUUGCAUGGGCAAAAGAGAGACCAUAUCAAUAGGAAGUAGGAAAACAAAGACAAGUGAAGAAUGAUAGAGGCAACUCGAAAAAAAAACCACAUUUCUUGACGAGCAAGACUACAUAAGAAAAAAAAGCUGGAAAAUAAAGAUAAUGUUGGAGAGUUCAGUAAACUUGGCCCCAAAACUUGUGUCUUCAAGACCCACUACACCAAAUUCGUCUCUAAGGCAUUUUAUUUUGCCUCUGUAGGUUAACUUCACCAAGUUAGCCUCCCAAGUUCGCGAAGGCUAUCUAUAAACCUUCCUAAGGAUCUAUAGCAAGUCUUGUCAACGAAUUAACUCAAGGGAAAUUGUUAUAGUUAUUCUCACAUACUAUUAUCAAGUCACCUCAUCACAUUCUAAUGAAUCACCCAUGCCAAUACGAUUACCUCAUAUAUAUAUAGUAGGACAUCAUGCGAAUGAGUUCCACACCAAAUCUCCUCUACCUUUGUGAAAGUCGUAUCCAUCACAAAAAGAAAGGGGCUUCAAUAAACCUAUCAAAACUCUAUUAAUUCUUUUCCAAUUAGCUCUGUAAGCUCAUGAGACCUUUUGAAACCUCCAAAUUCACACCUUCCAUGGUGUGAAUCGACCCUCUACACUCCUCCAAGUCUAGUGACUCUCACAAUGUUCAUAGUGUGAAUUGCCCUUGCAUGAGAGACUCUCCAAAUCUUUCAUGGUAUGGACCACCUCUCUACUAGUGGCUCUCCACACCUUUUAUGAUGCAAAUUGUCAUACCAAACCACCCCCAUUUUUCUAUUUUAUGUAAUAUCUUUCAUGUUAUUUUAUAAUAUAUAUAUAUAAAUACACUAUUUAAAAAUAAAUACUAACCAAAUUUAUUCCACAUUUAAGGCUAGUGCCAACUGUCGAAUUUAAUUUCACAGUACACUAAGGAGCAGUAGCGCACAUCAUAGCUAAUGGUGGUUACCCACUCUGAAUCAUUACUGCAAGCCGAGUCGAAUCAAAGUCAUCGAGCCGGUCCGGGACGUGUUAUCUCGAAUCUGAUAGGUCGACAUAGGUUUGAUGACAUCACCCUACGGCAAAGCAGUGACAUCACAAAUCUAAACGGGCUUUUGGUGAAGGCCACGUGGUAGAAUUAUUGGUACACUGAUAGCUCUAGCUUCUUCCUUUGUGUUCUCUUCUCAAGCUUUAAGUAAGCGCGUUGUAUACACGCUUCAAGUGUGUUUAUUAAAAUUUUAGGGCCUCAAAAUUUUUAUUUGGAAAAUUUUAAAUAUCAUUUUCAUAACAUAGAAAAUUUAAUAACCUUAGUUUUAAUUGGGUGAUUUUAAUAAAUAUUUAUAUUUUCGAGGUUGAAUAUUCUAUUUUUUUACUUGUAUUAAAUAAAUAUGGGUAUAAAAUCGAGUUAUAAAAUCUCAUACUAUAUAAACUAUGUGCGGGUUUUUAGCUCAUAUCACAUUUUAAUUUAAAUUUCAUUGUGUGUAAGCUCCGUUCAACUUUAUUUUGUUUUAGAUUCGGAUAUAUUAUGAUUUUUUUAUCUAUUUUUAACUUUUUUCAUUUUAAUUAUUUGAUGUUGGUUGCAAUUAUACGAAUAUAUAUUAUUUACAAGUAAUUGUAAUUUUUCAUGUUUUUAUUAUUUUAUAGUCAAAUAAUAAUAUUUUUAAUAUCUUAAAAUAGAGAAAUUUAAAAAAUAGAAUUAUAUUAGAAAAAAAUAAUUUUGGAAAAUUCUAAAAUAGUAGUGGGCAGAAAAAAAAAAGGUAAGAAGGAAGCUAUGGUGUUUGACUGUUUGUUUAGAAAUAGAAAAAUGGGACUUAAAUUUUUUUUUUGUUGUUGUUGUUGUUGUUGCAUAUAUUAUACUAUUAUAGUCUAACUAUGGAGAGAAAUAAAAAAUAAAAUCAAUAAUCAAUGGUUGUGUAAUCGAGUAGCAAGGAGUUUGAUAGUUAAUAAACAAAAUCUAUUCGAGUUUUUGGAGUUUUUGGAUUAUAGAAAAUAUCAUUUAGUAAGUUUAAAUCCCCGUUUAGGGUGUUUCAUCUGUCUUAAUCAGUUGAAACUCAAUGUGACUAUCAGAUACCAAGGUAUUACACGCAUGAUGUUUAUCAAGCAAAGUCUAUAAUUCGAGUUUUUGGAUGGAGAAAAUAGCGGUUGAAAAGUUUUACUCCUUGUUUAGAGGGUUUACUCCAUCUUGAUUAGUUGAAACACUAUGUGGCUAUCGGAUACCAAGAUUUGACCAUUGGAUGCUUAUUAAGCAAAGUUUGAGUUUUUGGAUUGAAAAAAGAACACUUGGAAAGUUUUACUCCCCAUUUAUGGAGUUCAGCCCAUCUUAGUUAGUCGAAAACUCUAUGUGACUAUCGGAUACUUGAUAUUGCUUAUUAAGCAAAGUCUACAGUUUGAGUCUUUGGAUGGAGAAAACAAUGUCGGGAAAGUUUCAUUCCCUGUUCAGGGGGUUCAACUAGUUAGGCUUCAAAUUUAGUUAGGAUCCACUGCGAUUAUCGGGUACCAAGGUAUGAUCACUUGAUGCUAGUUAAGCAACA
Molecule: long non-coding RNA, 46647 nt
Filed under: Gossypium barbadense (sea-island cotton)
Lineage: Eukaryota; Viridiplantae; Streptophyta; Magnoliopsida; Malvales; Malvaceae
Description: long non-coding RNA (GBAR_LNC011007)
Source: RNAcentral